UUAGUCUUAUGUAUAGCGCAGCUCCCUCCAAGUUUCUUUUGCUAGUUUUGUUCCGAUCGAUGAAGGAUACUUUACUUGUGGGUUCGGAUUCGUUUUCCUAUUUCACAGGGACUUGUAUAUCAAUUCUGUCGGUGCUUCAAUAUUGUCUUGAUUGGCAGUGCAGUUUCUUAUUGUCUUGAUUGUUCUUAUUGUCUUGAUUGGCAGUUUCUUUCUUUUGAAUCUUCAGAGAGACCCUUAGAGUUCUGUCCGGGAGGGUUUGUGAGUAAACUAUGUAUCAAACCGUAAGUGAAGCGGUCUACAAAGAAUACUUUCCAUCUUCCUUCUUUGGCGCAGCUGGAGAUGCCCCACAAGGCCUUAUUUCUCAAGAUUGAAUUAUUCGCGAAAGGAAGCCGGCAAUAGAAAGCAAGCAACCUUUUUGAAUCCAUUGAAGUAGGUGGCCGUGUACACUAGGUAUCAACAAAGCAAAGGACGCUUUCUCUCACCUAACUCUUCGCCUUCGGCUUUCCAUUGAAUGAUCUAUCAGGUGUGCUAUUUAGACUCUGUCAGUUGGGGCUUAUCCCUUUUCAAUAUACAUGGCAUAUACUUACACGAAUAUUCCAACUCAUCGACUCCGCUCAAAGCAUAUGAUCAAAGCUAGAGUGGCGCACAUAGCACAAGAGACUAAUGGAAUUCUCGUUGACCUGACCGGCAGUAAUAGCGAACAAAGACUGUUCUAAUGGAAAAGGGCGAGUACCUCUUUGUGGUAGAUAACGCAACCGAACAAGAAAUUAUGCUUUAAGUAUAGCAAAGCAUCUGGGCGAGCCCCUACACCCGGAAACUGCCAGCGAAUCAUAACUGAACAAGAGGAAGUAGAGCGUCUCACUACUAUAUAUGCUGUACCACAUACGAAGACCCAAAGCCGUUCUUUCUUUAUAGAAGUCCCCAGGACUUUAAGUGCUCAAUGGAAUUUUCCUUGAAAACGAUUCCCUUUACUUCUAGACGAACUGGUUAAUAUUGAACUUGAGUUUAUUCGCCACCGCCCCUCUAUACAUUCCUUCGGCGAGAAAGAAAGCAAGAUCCUUCGGCGAGAAAGAAAGCAAGAAACGUGUUCGGAUAGGGGAGGAAUUGAGUACCUGCCCCCCUACUAAGCAUAAGGGUAUGACCAGCCAGAUCCGAUAACAGCGAUUCUCCGUCUCUGACCUGGAGUUAGAAUAUAUACUGAUCUACAGACAUUUGACCUGGAGUUAGAAUAUAAUAUAUACUGACAACAUUAGCCCAAAAUGCAAUGAUAGCUCGCAUUAUUCAUAGUAAGUCGAUACAUCAUGCUUUUGAGGAAGCUAUUCGGCUCCCUAUUUAUACAUUCUUUCCGUUUGAUGGGCGUGUUCUCGUUUCUAGGUUUGGAUGUUAUUUCAUAAGGGUAUACAAUAAUGACAUUACGUCAAUACAUUCAUCUCAUCUUUUUACGUCAAUACAUUCAUCUCAUCUUUCCAAUCUCUGAAUUCUUGAUCCGCUCAUGCCUCUCACUUUAUGCCUUCCAUUCGACUCCUACACGAAGAAGUCUGACCGUACUUUAUGCCUUAUAUUCGGCUCCUACCUUACCAAGUCCGACCGGGCUUUUCGUUAUCAACUGCUUUCUUUCUGACUUCCAUAUUUGUAUCGUGGGCUUGAGUCCGCCUACGAGUCUAGAUUUACCGUUCGGUACACAUAGCUUUGACUAUCGAAGGAUAGAACAGAACCUAUAGCCUAUUCAGUAUAAGCAUCCUUAUAGAACCUAUAGCCUAUUCAGUAUAAGCAUCCUUAGGGAGGGAAAGUAUAUAUAAGGGGACUCGCCCAAAAUACUGAGACAAUAUCUCAAUUCUUUGCAAUUCUUUUGACUUUUGGGAUUGAAACCCACUUACGGGAAUAAGGCAAGUUAGAUAUUUCACACAAGCUUGGCACCCGGGGGAAUAAGGCAAGUUAGAUAUUUCACACAAGCUUGGCACCCAGGAAUAGGCGUUUUAUGGAUGAUUCAAGCCCUGCACACUCAAAGGCGAGAACGAAGUAGCAAGUCCAAAUGCGUUACCACCAAAUCCAGAAAAAUAGUCAUCAUCCUUAUGGAAUUGAAACCUAAAUCCGCCCAGAUGAGAAAGAAAGAAAAUAUGUUUAGCCACUGUGGGAUGACUAGGCAGGAAGCUAGAGAUGCGCCUGCACAUUGGCGAUACUUGUUUGCAGGAUGAUCCAAUCUCUGAACAACGUAAUUGGUUGAGGUUACUUUGUCCGUCGUGGUGUGAACUGAACCCAUUCACUAGUUUUUAGAAUACUCAAUCAAGGAGCUUAGGAAUGGUUUAAGGUUGAUGAGGCGGAACCAGAAAUGCUACCCACACCGGAAAGAUUGCCUGGGGCUGAUGCUUACUGUGAUGUGGCCUACUUGUAUACUAGUGUUACAUGAGGAUACCCGGAAUCUAGAAUGGCAUGUUCUAUAUGUUAAAGACAUCACUGUUGCGGAAGUGGCAUUGAGGAUGCUGAAGCCACCACUGGUUGUUUGUUCACACAGGGAGAUUGAAGUGGGCCUAUGCUUCGAAAGGGGCGUAGCGGAAUCAGGCGACUUGCCCCUGGAGGAAUUCCUUCUUCUUAGAGUGGAGGCGGAUCUCACUCUUUUGACAAAUGCCCAGAAGCGUCUGUAUACUAGUGAAGGUUAGAACAGGGUGUCGAACUAGACUGCGUCUAUCGAAUCGCCUCUGUAAAGUGAAGUAAAGGCUGGAUGCCGAGAAUCCUAUAUCUAUCUAAGAAGAGCAGGCAUGUGUGGCACUUUAGGACAAAACUCUGCAAGAAGGACCUUUCGUUUAAUAUGCCUUAUGUACUGUAUUAACCGGUCUUGGCAAGAACGCCUUCUUUCUUAUAGAAGCUGCGAUGAAGCGAAUCUAUCAUCUGGAACCCGAUCACAUUGCCCGCUUUACGGCUUGACUGCAUUACCUUCCAAACCUUACCUUUGUCCCUUAACAGCUGACUGCAAGCAUUCCUGGAGCUAGUAAUCCGCCAAAAAGAGAAGUCACUUCAUACAUACGCUCCUGGUGUUCGAACUACUAAUUAAUGGUCGGCUUAAUUAGUAUCCGGAGAAGAAGAGGUGAACGAAGCUAAUGCGUUGCGAGAAGCUUCAUCGACUAUCGAAUCAAUCUAGAAACUAGUGUUUGACUCGCCGUGUAGCGUUAGUCGAGUUACUUAUACUUCAUCAGCAUUAAGUAGUGAGCUCUUCAAUUCCUAUGUUAUGUUAUAUGCCGAUCAGUUCAUCAAUUCCCAUUUCCAAUUCAUUCUCAUUCUUGGGGUUUCUAUUCUUUCCAAUUCAUUCUCAUUCUUGGGGUUUCUAUUCUUAUAUAUGUGUAGAAGUUCAAUUCCUGGGUAAGUCACUUGGCUAUAAGCAUCAGCCACGAGAUUAGCCAAAGCACAAAAAAACUGCUCGAGACACUAGGCCAACCAAGAUGGAUAGCAUAACUCUUGACAUCGAAACGAGUUUGUUCACAGUACCCCCGAGACAUAUCAUUUUCUAGAAACAUACGAAAUGGCUGACACAGCCCUAAGAAUAUGAGCGGAUUUCUCCUCUCGAACGGAGCCUUCUCGAAUUCUUUGAUUAUGAUCCCAGACCGAAUCAGUUAGCAGAAACACAAGAGGGUCUCACCCGGUGGUGCAUCUCUUGCAUCAUACGCUGGCCCAGACCCCAUUGCGGAUGGGAAAAAGAAUAACCCUGUAGCAUCUCAUUCUGUCUUCGGGUCUUGGUGAGUACCCACGCAAUGGCAGUCACGUACAGUAAACAUGGUUUGCUAAACAUAAUGACAAAUGCUGCGGCCAGUCCGCUAUAAGCAAAUACAGGCCAUGCCACUAUUCACAAAAAGAGGAAGAAAGGAACAAUAAACAGUUCGAUCAUCCAGCGGUGAACAACCAAUUCGACGUUGAUUAUUCAAUGAUGGCACAUACCUAAGUAUUGGCAAACGGCAGACAGGGAAGCCGAAAGUCCCGUCCCCUCUUUUUGACGGGUGUGAGCGAUUGCUAAUCAGUAAAAAGCCGAAUGAAACAACUUGCUGACAAAGGAAGAACUGAUAGAGAGUUCCACAUGGGUGAUUGGGUGGAUCUAAGGCCCGGACUUGACUCUCCUUCUCAGCUGCAUUCAGUCAAAGGUUCAAGCCCUGGCUUACUUGGGCUCACCCUGCUAGUGGUGGGUUCGUUCUGGCGGACGAAUAAAAGCCCUGGGAGAAAUCCGAUUCCUCAAUACUACUCCACUCGUGCCUGAAUAGGAAGCCAGAGUCCCUUUUUGUAAGUGGGCAAAGUAUCAUUUUUCAAAGAAGUCUCAAAACGAUCGAAUUUCUUGUACGAAGUCAUUUUCUCACUUACGGAAGGUGGGCAAGGGAGUCAUUCAUAUACUUACCUCCGAUCUGAAUUUGCUGUUCCAGUCACUGAUAAGAAAAGAGAGAAAACGGACUCCUAAUAUCAGAAUCAGAGAGAAAACGGACUCCUAAUAUCAGAAUCAAGUAAGAGGAAUACAGUAUACAAACCUCUUUCUUAUUCUUAGGUUAUGAGUGAGAGCCAUCAUGCAAGGAGUCGAAAUACAAUGGGCAAGCAAGCAAGCUUAUUUCGCGCAGUCAAACAAGAUACAGUUACAUUCUAUACAUUAUGUCGAAGCUUUCCACUCUGCCUUGUCUUCUUAUCUCGAAGCUUUCCACUCUGCCUUGUCUUCUUAUCUCAGGGACUGGUACCCAAGUUUAUACCUGUUUGAAAGCUUCCUUUCGACUUGGAAAAAGAUGUAGGACGGGCCGCUUAAGUAAGAGACUCGAGCUACACACAUCUGCUGGCCUCAGAGCCCUUAGUACUUGAUGAAAGUAGAACACCCAGCCCAAGGGGUUGACGUGUCCAAAGGAGAGAACGAGACAAAGAGGGCCCGGAGCCUCGGACGGUGUCCUUCCUUAUCGAACCAAUACACGAUUCUUCCUCUAUAUGUGACAUGGCCCGAUGGUAUUUUCACAUGACAACGGAAGGUGUUCAGCGUGUUUCAGCCUCGCGCGCAUCUCCAGAGCAAGGUUGCAGACUCUGCGGAAGACGAAUCGGAAUCAGCAUCUAGUCCGGGGUCAUAACCUCUCGAAUAAGUUGUGACCGGCCUCCGUUACUGAGGAAGCUGCCUUAUAAAGAGAAUCUAGUAAGAUGAAGUCAAAUAGAGUUAUUACCAAGCAAGUCCUUUCUUCGUCAUCUGAAUCUGCCUCCAGUACUUCACCUCUUUGCUUAUAUGCCUAAUGAACUUGCCUUGCGCCUUGCUAGGAGUUCGUUCGUUGCCUCAUUUCGUUUUUCUGUAAGAUCCUAAUUCAGGCUCAUUCACUUGUUGUGAAACAAUAGGUUGGGUAGGGCAGAAGGUUGAGUAUCACUGGAAAGAGCUAUCUAUUUCGGCUACUGAGCAAGGCGACGGUAGAUGCCAGUUUGCGGAAUACUUGGAGUUCGAAGUGGCAUGGAUCUAAUGAGCUAUUCCUCGCAUCUCAUCCUUUAGAAUCAAAUAAUCAUAUUGAAUAAGGCAAUUCCCACUAAUCCUCAUGUCCUGUUUUUUUGAUCUCUUCUCUUCGUCAUCCCGCUUAGAAUAACUAUCAGAAUAAAGAGCUUGGAUUCUAUAUACCACCAGCUUUCCUUGAGCAGAUAGGACUGUAAACUGACAGACUAGCUUCGAAAGAACCUACCCAGGGGGCGAUCCUCAUCUCGUUCACUCAAAGAAGCCUAGCUCCACUUUCUUUCUUAUACCAGUAACCGGAGUAAGCCUUUCGCUCGUCCCUUCGCACGUGCAUCUUUAUAUCCCCGGGCAAGCAAUAGAGCAUUGAUUCUUUCCCUCGCUCCCGUAAGUCACUUCGUUCCCUAGCCUUUUCCUUCUAGGCUUCCAGUAGUCCUUCCGUAACCAAGAGAAACCAACCCUAGGAUAAGACCAUGCUACCAGGAAAGGAAAGCCUACCUCGGAAAGGAAUUUCACCAUGAGUUCACGGAUCAGAAGGAACCCAUCCCGUCUUUCAUUAAAGAGCAAUGGUCUACGACUACGACUCCGCUGCUUGGGAGAGCUCCUUUGUGAUUUUCUUUCUUAGGAUAACAGAUCUUGUAGGAUAACAGAUCUUGGUUUUUCACCCGCACCAGACAUAGCAGCCUUUAGUUUCAGUUCUCGGUCCUUUGAAGAUUGGGCAAUAAGCACAUCCAACCAAACCCAAUAUUACUAAACGUUCUGAGUCUUGUCGUUGGACUAAUUACGUCUUCGGUCAUGGUGCCCAUCAUUACACUUUUGAGUAUUUCGGUCUGUUCUUCUCCAGGUAACGUACUCAGAGUUCAUUAUCUCAGCUUUGUCAUCAGUCUCAACUCAAGCUUUGGUUCUUUUCUCACCGAAACUUAUAAGAUCUUGUGCUUUCAAUAAACGACAUUUUGAUAGUUUCCAUUUUCUUGAUAACAAAUUGACGAUGGACGGGAUACUCACUAAGUGCUGAGGAGAAGGAUACAGACACAGCGGUGGACAGCGCCAAAGAGAAAACACAUAACAAGCAGACCAACAGAACCAACUGAACGUUUCCCAAGAGCUAGUGCUCUGAUACCAUGAAAGAGUGGAAAACACUUGGAGCAGCGUCUGCAUCCGAUCUUAUAGAAUCUUUGUCCUGCAAACAACCUAUUCUUACAAAAGAAAAGUCAUAGUGCUACUUACUCCUGCUAAUGCUAGUGCUACUCCUAACAGCGCUUAUUCCGACAACAGCGAGAACAGUAGCUGGGGAUUCGAUUGCAGGUUUGUUUGAUUACCCUAACAGCCUUAUCGAGCAACCUACUCUAGCAGCUCCUUCUGGGCACACUAGUUUCAGAAGUGACUUGCCUUGCCUUCCCCAGCGUCGAAGUAAAGUUCGGAACUCUUUCUCUUAUAUAGGCGAUUUUGCCUUUGAAUCCCAUUCUAACCAUCUUCUUCUUCUGUGUAAGUAAAGACUAUCUGGGCCAUUCUCUUGCAUCAAUUCCUUGCUCCUCGAUAUUGGAAAUUGGGCAUUCGAGUCGAGAACAAGCCCUUGUAAUACCCCAUUGAAUCCAUCAGUAACGAAGAAGGAGUCCCAGUAGUCAAAUAGGCAUUCACUUCACUCGAACAGAAAGAAAGACCAAAAUGACCAUUAGCUGAACGGAAAGUGGGUCUGUCUACAAGAUGAAUACUCGAGAUCGUAAGAUGUGUUGGCAGUCUGGUUCCGCUUUCUCUGACGCCAAGAAUCUUCAUACCUCUUUCCUUUCUCUCUCGUGCCCUUCUCUUUUGAGCGGUAAAAAACAUCAAUUAGGAAUGAGAGCGCACUGCCGGAUCAUGAAAACGUUCUAAUCUACCAACAACCAGGGUUUACUUGAUUGGCUCUUUAUCGGCUUGACUAAACCCAUCUAUAAACCUUAAUGCCCUGAUAGUCCACUUAACUAAUCAAUUACAGAGCAUAUCCUUAUGCUUCCGACUAAGCCGUGCUUGCUACCCCCAGAAGCCACCUUUGAUCCUAAGUCGCAUUGAGAAUAAGUGAUAGGAAUUUCUCUGCACUAAAGGAUUCUGCCCGAGUCCCCCAAGCCACAAUGAUAAUAGUAGGUCUUCCUCCUUAUGAUUAUGUCUGGCAAGCAAGCUAGCUUCCCUAUUCAUGGAAGAUAUCUAAAGUAUUCCUAUUUAUUGCCUGAAGUGAGCUACAAGACUGAUACUGAUACUAGCUUUUGCUUGCGCUUCUUCUCAGACUACGGCUUGCCCGCGAUAACCCUACUGAGCUUCAUUAAGCUGUUGGAAAAAAGGAAUGAAGAGUCAAAGUCAGUAUAAGCUCCCUAGGAUUGAGAUAGAUACGAGACUGGCCAGCGAACCACUAAAGGACCCGAGACUGAACCCCAGCCUAGGCACUCCUACAACGGAUAGAGCCUUGACCCGGAUGACAUGAAAUGGAAAUCCAAAAAACGACAAUGAACUAUUGAAGCUAGAAGUGUGAUUGAUCAGACAAGUAUAAAGGGCUUUCGGUAUACUUCUUUCAUUUCCGAAUUAGCUUGCUACAAGUCCUAGCAUUAGUAUGACCGCGUAAGGGAAAUCCAUCAACAAUCAUUCCCCUCCAGAAGUAGAGUCCUCGUCCGCUUAUUCGAGAGCCUCUCUUGCGGGUUGAGUUCAUUCACAAAGAAACAGUCUUCUUCGAAAGUAUGCAGGUUAGCUUAUCUAUGUUCGUUUACACCUUGGCCUACCAAAGUUCUGAUGGAUUGGCAAACUCUAAAGUCUAGUUCGGUCGAUAAGAAAAAGCAUUGCUUUCCCACUUCGGUGAAUCUAUUGAUUCUUAGCGCCCCUACGAAAUAGUUCAGCGAGCUACCGUUACUGGAACUUCGACUUCACUUUCUUAGGCCGGAGAAGAUCGCCCAGGAGGGCUUGUAAAAAGCAUCAAAAUGAAGCAUAUUAUUUAAAGGCUGUCAUUAUUAAAGAUGGCACGGAUUGACUUAGUUGAUGAAGGGUCCGUGUAACCAUACCGACCGAAUUCGCACCUACUACCUAAAGCUAACUUCCUUCUUGGGGACCACUUUGUGUAUAACGAAUUUGACGCCCCAGAAUGUAUGGAAUGGUGUAAGCCGUCGAGAGAGAAGCCCUUAUUCAAUGCUUAAUUCAUAGGACAGAGCAGGUGUAGCGUAGCGUUCGUCGCGUACGACUUUCCAAUUUCAUUAGGCAAGUUCAUCAUUUCGUUUCGAUGCUUGGUUCAAAGCAACAAGGGGAUCGUCCCCCAAGUGAGCGCUUUCCGUUGAAACCACUCAACGGCCUGAGAGGAAUGGAUUGACCGAGCCGAGUGAAUGAAGGUUUCAUGAGUCUUGCCUGUCAUAGGCCAGUGAGACAGCAUCUCAUUAGGUAUCAAACUAGCAGGAUUGAGUGGUAGGUAUCAAACUAGCAGGAUUGAGUGGGUGGAAAUGUCAUCGGCUUAUAUUAUUGCAUUGCCCAUGAGACCCUAACUAAUGAGAGCCAGAUUUAGAUGCCUUUGCCCACCUUCCCCUUUAAGAUGAACAGGCUUUAUUAUUCCACACAACUAGAAAAGGAUCCCAACUUUGUCCAGCAUCCCAUAGUCAAACUAAAGGACAGACGUGAUGGCUGAUAUUGCUUUUUCCCUCAUGUUCACAGUGGGUUUCAUGGUUCUGAACCAAGAUUUCAAGGGAAAGACUUCAAUCGAUGAACUCCUUGCAGCAGAAAUGGAUUGCGCCUGAUAAAGGCAAUGAAAUUGUUCAGUGAUGAUCCGUACGGGAUUUCUUAUCUUUGGAUUUCGUUAUAGCCAGCAACGGAAUGAUUUUGGGCAAGCUGACGUCGCUCCCCUUUAUUUGACAGGGUCGGAGAAGGAGGUUGAAGCAAAGGCUGUUUACGCCCGGGCCAAGUAGACAAGAAACGAAAACGGUUUCAUUUAUGCCUCAACUGCAACAUUUCCAUAUUUGACUGAUGCGCUUGGUUUCUCUAUUCUGGCAAACAUGAAUAGAAUCUUUGGAAGUUCAGAUAGCCCAAGGAGCGGAACCUUAUCUAUACUUUGAACUCCUAACCGUGCAACUCAUGAAUGUCAAUUAGCUUAGACUAAGGGCAACUCUAUACCUAUCUCGCCAAGUUACUCGUAUACACCUCCGGCUCAUCUAACUAUAUCUCUUUGAACUCAGGCUACAAUGAAUUGAACCCUGCUUGCUCCUCUAGACCCACAGCCUGUAUUCGUUGCUUGGCCCCUAGUGGAUUGGCCCGAAAACAGGAUUUGUUGCUCUCCACUCCCCUACGCCAACAGCGGAUUAAGUUGUAUACUUUCAUUCUUCUGCUGAAGAUCCUUGUUCUAAUCCUUCUCUUGCUUCCUACAUAGUUGUUAUAGUGAUUUUUGCCUAUUCAGAAUUUCCUCUUGCAAAUACAUCCAUUAUUUCCUGUUUCACCCAUACCUACUUUGAUUCAUGAGGAGAACACACUCUCUUUUGUUUAGAAGGAAGUGCUGGGUUGUUACUUUGUUACAUAAGUGGAGAGCAUUCUCUUAUAUUCUGAAGCGUUAGGGAGCGUCACUCCUGCUCUCGUUAGUGCAGCUAGUUGCUAGUUGGUUAAGGCCUGGCCUACUGAAGCUCCCCUACUUCAAGAUAACAAGUAGUCAAAUUCCAUAAGCAAAAGAAACUCAAUCACUCAAUUCCGUUCGCUAAACUCAUUCAUUUGAAUUGAAUCUUUCUUCUCGAGCACUUGGUAUAUAAGGAAGUAAAUAGACUCCAUCUUUGGCUUUAGAUCCUGAUCCAGCAUUAACAACAGGUUGAAAUACAAGACUUGAAACUGCUCCAGCUCUAGCUAACCCGGCUCCAUCUUCUGUUGUCGACUUUGAUUGACUUCCUGCUUCCACUCCAUCCUCUGAUCCUGAUCUUUUCACUCGAACACCCGAAAACCCAAAGACAGGACUUGGUUAUAACCUGGAAUCAAUCUUGAACCGAGUCAAACUAAUCAUUCAAUAUAUCUCGCGCUAGAAAGUAAUCAAUUCAUUCAAUCUUUCGAGCGGAACUACUUUCCUAUAGCCAACACUCGCACCACUGCUAACAGGAGCGGAAGAAGGACAUUUUCAUAUACAAGCAAGGUCUCGCACGAAACAACUUUGUUUGAGCUACAGUGGCAGGGCACCCCAAUCCAAUAGUUGCCUUUUUCGUCCUUUAAGACAUGUUCAACUCAAAUGAUAGCUCCGAUCAAUACUGAAACUCGCAGGAAAAGAAAAGACACUCCCUUCCCUUUAGCACAACUAACUCAUAACUUUCAAAGAGAAUGUCGACAGCGCUUAGAAGACUUUUGCUGCUGACUCCCUUUCUAGUGCUUCUUCUCUAUACUUUUCACUACGCGGAACCUUGAUUCCACUCGCACCGACCGAACCUAGACCUAACUCGAACUUAAGAUUAUCUUGUUGAUUUUGUACCGUAACUAACUAUACGAAUCGAUUGCUUCUGAUCGUGCAUCUUAUGGUGAUCUACCUUAGUUGAGUCAAGUCAAACAGGGAAACCCAUUAAUUGAUCAUUUCGAGAACUCCUCGCACUGCGGAUUCUCUAACUGCACCCCUAGAUAUGGAACCUGAGAAGAUACUGGCUGGAGAAAGAGAAGGAAAGGAGACAAGAUCAGAUGAUGUGUAAAAGUCAGCAACAAGGUAAGGUGGUCUUCAAGCGAAGGAGAGUGAUUGGCUUGUUCAGCAGAUUGCCCUGCAGUAGCUCCUUCUCGGCCAGUUCUGGUUGCUUACUUAUAUUACUUAAGUUUUAGCGUGGAGAUUUUCGUUUUAGUUUCAUCAUAUUCAAUACAUAUUAAGAAGAAGAUCUCGAAUCGAAUGCGGAGGUAAAGUAUAAGGCAAGGCUAUAGGCUCAUCUCUUUUAUCAUGCACACUACCCUUAAUUACAAUUGCAUAAGUAUAGGAUCCAUGAAUAGCCUCUUAUAAUGGAAGAGUCUCAGAGCCCAUAUGGAUUGGCGAGAAAGAGUUGGCAAGACUGAGGCUAAACUUACGUAGUAGCUUGGCGGGUUGGGCAAUAAGGACAACCCGAGUCCGGUUACACUAAGAAUUAUUAGAUUCGAAUAUUAUACUAUUGGCAAGGAAGCAGAAGCCACUGAAGCAACUUACAUCAUUUUGGUUACCCUGAUAGGUACUAUAUUAUUCCACUUGUCCCACGUCUAGGUAUAAUGGAUCCUGGUUCCCAAGGAUAGUACACUACCAAUUGAAAGUCUAGAAUCGAAUGGCCAGUUCCUUUUCUAGUUUCCGUAUAAGUUUACGUUGAGUCUGCGAAAAAGUCAGCAGUGAAAAGAGAAUCAGCAGUAAAUAGCGGUUCUUAAGCUGUACCCGGAUACGGAGAUGGAUAAUCAUAGGGAACAAUAGAAUCAUAGGUGUCAAGUUACUCACUUAUUGAAUUAAAGUCAGCGGGCCUAUCAGGACAUUUCUCUAAUACAAACAGAUUCGACUCAUUCCCUUCCUUCCCUUAGCGCAAUCAGAAUUCAUGGAUUCCUUGUUCUAAAGUAUCUAUUUUGGAAUCUUACUAAUAUCAAUAUGAAACUCCUUUCUCUUAUUUUGAUUCGAGAGAUCCUACUGCUCGAACUUAGACUAGGGAUGAAACAAUAACUCCCCUACUAGACUGAACUUACUCACUCUAAAGGCAUCGCAGCUGACGCUGCCCUCGCAACAAAGCACAAGCCUAUACUUUAUUCUGCCACGACCUAAACUAUAACUGCUUUUUCUCCUGAUGCUGACACUGAUCUUUAUCCUUAUUCUUUCUGUAUGGGAUGAAACUGGAACGCGGGUUGAUUGUGCUUCUUCCCUCAAUGCCCCCUCCGUUGGUGAAGCAGUGUUGUCUCUUUAUGUUCCACUUUUCUCUUAAUCCAAAUAAGCAGUCAGAGUUUUGUCAACUCAAAGAAGAUGCGGUUUCAAGCGAAGGAUCAGAGUCCGGAUAAGAAGAAAGUAUUGUUCCAGAAGUGGAAGAGAAUGCCUAUUCUUCGGUUCAGUCUCAAGGAACAGUAUCAAGCGCUUGUCUAUAUGAUCUCGCCCAGUAAGUCCGUGCUUCUGAAGCGGUUAAGUAGAAAGGAAGUCGCAAGCGGGAAGUUCUGUGAAUGAAGUGUUUUCCUCUGCGCUAACGGGAGUUUGUGAAUAUUCAUCUAAAUAGAGAGCGUUCCCCACACACAUAUAGAAUUUGGUAACGUUCACCUCUUGCCUUUACUGAUUAUGGGCUUCCUCAGCUAAGCUACCUAAUGCCGAUACUAAUUAUUCUCCUUCUUUGACUGAAGAUACAGAUCCAGUCCGAGUCCUUUCUUCACCUCCUACGAGUUAUGAGCAAGUCCUGUGUCUGGGUGCGCGAGUAGUGCUUUGUGAAUCUCUUCUAUUUGUAGCUGUUAGUGAGAUGGAAUUGGUUUGGGAGGUUGACUUCAUACAGGCCCAACUCUGCCUACUGCUUCUCACAAGUAUCAAGUUUCUACGAAAGCUGGGAUCUUAUAUGUGACAUUACUUCACAGGGUGCAGAUCUUAUAUGUGACAUUACUUAACGAGUUCCGGGAUGCCUCAAUUUGUUCAACAUGUGAGUUUCGCAGAAAGGGUCGGUCUUACUUUAUUCCAUAAUCAGUGGUUAUCCAUCUUCUAGCUCUCAGACCUGGCUCAAGGCUGUGCUAACGGAGUCUUUGGAAGCAAAGCUGUAACGCUGUGGUUUUCAUAUCCCUUAUAGUAUGCUACUUAUUCACUCUCAAUUCAAGGAACAAGCCAACCACGCAAGAAUAAGCAAGGGCGACUGGUUCCGCAACAGAAGAAACUAUGGGCUUAUAUACUGAAGAAGUACUCAUGGGUUCAGGCUAAAGUGAGGUCAGCAGCAAUGAAGCCUUAGCAACUUCGACUUUCAUCCGCAAUUCAACUAUACUAAGGUUGGCUUAGAGUCUCUUUCAGUUCGAGGUAAAGUAUCAAGUGGAGUGGAAAGUUGGCUAACGGAGAGUUCCUGUUUUUAUACCCCGAUUACUGGUCCACGUAAGGCACAAAGGGCGAAGAUCUACUUUUUCUAGAAACUUGACCCUAAUACUUCACUUAAUCGACGCUUCCAGAUACGACAACACUCUAACUCGAGUCUCCAGCUAAACAUUGCUAAAGCUUCUCAACUCACUGUUUAUACUUGCUUGAUCCGUUGUUUUUGAGAGUAUGACUAAGAUUCUUUCCCGCCUUACUUUGAGCUAACGCCCACUAGUAGCGCUUACUUGAUGAGCGGGUGCCUUUAUUCUUAGCUUUAGAGCCAGCAGUGAGGUGAGGCAAUUCGUUGAAGCAGUAAGGAGUUGUUACUUACUUAUAUGAUUAGUGAAUCCUUUGUUUGUGUUUUUCUUCUUGGGCUUAUAGCUUUUGUAUUAGUAGUUACUUGGCGCUCGCUACCGCUAGUUCCUGUAUGUUAUAAACAAGUUCUAACCAAGUCCUUUGUUUUACCACCUUUCCAUUUCAAACAUCAAUAAAUCCAUGGUCUCGGAGCGACUGGCAAGCUAGAGCGGGAGAGAAAUACAGGUGCUUCAAGCCUUCUCGGGUAAUAGGCACAACGCGACUCGAUAACAGUGCUAGGUUCGAUAGGCCAGCCAUCCCCUUCUUUCUAAGUUGUUAGAGUUUUUUCAACGAUAGAAUCAGCAAGUACAACAUAUGAAGCAGUAAGAAUUAGGUCUCCGAGAUGAGAAGCUUUAUAAGGAUUCGAUGCAGGAUCAACAAGGGAACUAUUAAAGGAAGAAGCUUUUGGAAAGUCUAGUUAUGGGCUAUAAAUCCAUCCAGUACUUAUGAUGCACGGUGUGGUCCAAGUCGUCUAAAGUAAGCGGGGUUAAGUGGAGAAUUUCCUUCCUUCGGAUUCCUCAGCGCUAAGUCCUGAUGAAGUAUAGUUGGAUGUUUGCCUAGUGCUUGAAUCAUGAGUUGAAUCCGUGAAGUCAACAUCGACAAGAGAAUCAGUGGUGGAAAGCUAAGUGGUCAGCGGUAGUGUUGCUGGAACUACACUUGAAACCUUCCUUGCAGCAGACGACUUCAAUUCCAUAAGCUACGAUUCUCUUAUAGAUUCUACUAAGGUAAAGCCAAUAACUCAAUGAAACGACUUUACUCGCACUCAAAGACGAGACUUAAUUAAGUACUUAACCUAGCUUCUCAGCUCGCUAACAGAGAGUUAUUUCGCGCUUCCUUGAAUUCAAUAAGUGAAGUCACUUUACACCUAAAGUAGCCAAGAACCAGAAUGGCUGCUGACCCUACUCUUGCGCCUGCUCCUAAACGUGAUACAGCACUCGUACCCAAAGAUAUGGACUCGUAUUUAGUUUAGCUAGAAUCAACUGCUCCGUGUAGUGGGCAUGAUCUUCGAGCUAGAUGCUCUUCUUCUUCUAUAUGGGAUGAAAGUCUAUAACUACGGUAAAGUUAACAAAAGGGCCAAGCUAAACAUACAAAUACAACUAAUACAGAAGGAAACUAUCAACUAGGAAUGACAGAAAGGAUACAGGACACCUGUUUUCCUAGGUUAUGGGAAUGCACCUAUAAUAAGUCAUAAUUUGAUACAAGGGUUGAGUUGAGGAGACAGCCCGUCAACCAAUUUGGCUUCGAGAUUGCUACUACGCGAAAAGAGUUGGUCUUCCACUUCGGCGUGCCCCGUGAUAGGGUGUUCCCCGUCUCACUCGAAGAUUCCAGAGGCACAUUGAUACCGAAGGAGUCUUAGUAACCGCUAUAGAGGCUAUAUCAAUAAGGUCAAAUUCUUAUGCUCAUUGACACGGUUCACUCUUUCGUGUUUCUCGUGAGUCUCGUGCCCAAGCUCCGCUCUUAUUGGCAUUAGUUCAAAGCCGAUGCUCACUAUUGUUAUUCUCCACUCUUGUAUUGAUCCUACAAACACAUAAGCAAGAAAGUCAGGAGCACUACAUAGAAUGAAAGCAUAUAGUAUAAGAAUCUAUGUAGUAGGAGAUUCCUAGGUGCACUGCAUACUUCGAAUAAGGAGUCAGAGAAUGGGAAAAGGGAGUUUCCGUUUGAUAGCUAGGGGUGUCGGACCCAACCAAUAGCCGGGAAGGACAGCUUAUCCUCCCCAGGAAGCAUGGAUCCAAUGCCAGAGUGAAAGAAACUAAGACCCACAAGAGGAGCAGACUAAUAGCCCGUUGUUGGGGAACGAGAGAAGGGAAAGUCAGAUUGAGUCUAAGGAAGGGUAGGCUUGUUAGUGUUAGUUGAUUUCCCGGUUGUUAGUUAAGGGCUCAUGUGCCCUAGUUCAAUUCUGUAUUGCACUGUUCCAUUCUCGCUUGGUCACUAGUGAAGUCCGUUAGGCAGUGUUCGGAGUCACCAAGCAACUAAGAAAGACGUUGGGCGGUAGGAGCCUGAGCUAAACGGUAGCGAGCCCUCACUAGCUCAAGUCUUUGUAUUGCCGAUUUCAUUCAUUCUUUCUUUAUUCCCGGUCUUUGUAUUGCCGAUUUCAUUCAUUCUUUCUUUAUUCCCGAUUCCCUUUAGUUCAUGCUCCAUCCUUUCAUUCCGCAUAUCGAGUUGUGGAGCCUCCCAUUACUGAGUGGAAUUCCUAGUUACGAGGUUGGUUCUUAUCAAUAGUAGCUCCAUUCUGUAUAUGCCCCAUUACUGAGUGGAAUUCCGGAGGUAGUACUUCAUUCUGUACUGACUAUAAAUAAGUAUGCAAAAUAAGAUAAGGGAAACGUCGGGCAUACCAUUUCGGGGUUUUCAUAUCAUUGCAGGCGUCUACUUACUUUGAUUCCUUGAUUACUACCUAUAAGGCUAUAAGGGAGCGUCCAAACAAGGCAGCAGACUAUUCAUUAUAGGGCAAAUAGCCAUAGUCAAGAGAUGGGUCCGGGCUCGUAAAAGAAUGAUAAGAAGUCAAGGCAGGCCCGGAGCAAGCAAGGAUAGACUAGAAGCCGGUAAUGGAAUACUCAAUCUAAGAAACCAAGAUAUAAGUAAUAAGCAUAAGUCUACGUGCGCCAAGUGAGACUAAUGGAUAGGAAAGCGAGCCUAAGAUACCGGGGGGGAGAGGUAGAAACUGACGUAGUUACUUGGCUAAUAUACGUAGCUUGGCGAAUCGAAUCGAUCGAGGAGGGGAGGAUCCACUCGGCUAUAACAUCCGAAACCUGACUCACCUCUUUCCCUUUUUUAGGCAAAUGCUUCCUGUGCUCUUCCUCAACCUUUUCUUAUUCUUACGCAGAGCCGGAGACAUAUGGAUCUAAAGCGGAGGGUUUCCUUUCCAUAUCAGUAAUAGCGGAACUCGGACGUCGAAGCUGAAGAACUAAUGGUUAGUACUAUCUGCUUCAUAAGCUUCUUGAGAUUAGUCCUGUCCCCAAGGCAACUACUUGUUUCUUUCUUGGAUAUGCUCAGUCUGGGUCUCGAUGCUAUGCCGUGAAAUCCAAGAGACUCGAUUUCUCCUUUCAUGUUCUCUUUCAUGAGGUCGCCUCCUCUUUUCCUUAACCUAAUUCAUAAGCCAGCCCCGAGGGAGAAUGGUGAUGGUGUCCUGUUCAUCAACUCUCAUCUAAUGAUUCCCGCCGGAUCAGCCUCACUCGCUGCCCAGCAUGCCGAUUGUCAGCCUGUUCAGAGGAUUCCAGUUACCCGGCACAGCACUCGGCGGCGAUUACAUGAUGUUUCCCAGACUCAGACAACUCCAGAAGAUCAGCAGUCUCGCCCAGUUUGGGUCAGAAAAAAACACUAUAUAAGGUUCGUCGAGAGGAUCUAAGUUUCGGAUCCUGUUGAAUGAGAUCUGUCUGAUCUUAUGAUAAAACAUCACAUCGAGCUGACUGAGGGACAUGAACCCGAAUCAUUUGCGGAAGGGCCUUCUCUCAUUCUUGCUGGGGAGAUGCUAUGCUGGAAACCCAGCCCAGGACAAAUUGGGUCGUCCGACCGGCUGUUCACUGAAGCUCAUUGGUGAAUCCGAUCAGUUCAUCGAGCGUAUGAUGGUACUCAUGAUGAUCCUCCACGUCUUUCGUGUGUAUCUCACAGGUGGCUUUCAAAAACCUCGCGUGGUUUACAGGUUUGGUUUUGGAUGUAUUGACCGUGGUGUAACUGGUUAUUCCUUACCUUGGGACUCAGACUCUAUUUAGAAAAAGAAAGUGGACGAGAAAUUCCUGCUAUUUGCAAAUUGGGGGGAUGGGAAAAGCAUUACUGGAAAGAGAAAGCAAGACACUCGCUUCCACAACGAGAACGGACUUGGAACCAUAGAAGGACACUACUAAAGGGUAUCGAAACCUAUUCCAUGGUAUUCUUGCCAGUACUUUCGAUCUCGACUGGAACUCGAUUGACUUGUAUGAGUGGAGCAGGUAGACCCAUCCUACCAGUACUAAAGAAGUGAAGGGCGUCAGCAAAACUCUAACCUUAUCAAAGCUUACAUCAGGUCCAUCUAAUAGCUUGUCCAUCUUUCAUGGUUCGACGUCAGUUGACUCGACUCUCUCUAUCUACUGAUGCGGGAAAGGCUGUUUAUAAGUUCUCAAUUUCUUCUCCUUGUCACGUCGUCCCUGUCAAAGAAGGUCAGAAGCAUUAGGCUCAUGAACUCAGACCUUGUCUUUCAUGUAGUAAGGAGAUAACAAGAACCAAGUUGGUGUUAUCUGUGGAAUGGCUUCAACGGGGAAAGAGGGGUAGGAAAGCGAAAGGGCAGAGCAUAUUAUGCUCCUUAUAUAGGAUCAUUUCGGAUAGUGUAGUUCUGUCGAGCGACAUAAGGGAUUAAGAUAAUAAUCCGCUAAGAUGAAUGCCGCUUUAACGAGUGCAAAAGUCGUAUUGAAAUGACUUUUCCGGUCGGUUCCCUAGCUUCCUAUAUUACCACUCGAGCGGGAUCAAAGGGGAUGAGUUAUUCUCGUAGCGUCAUGCCCAUCAAGAGGAUCCAGAGGUUCAAUUGAAUUAUAGCCCUUCAUACCUCUUACAGAAGCCAUAGCAAAGAAAGCAGCAAGAGUGGAGAGAACAAGCUCUUCAAGCUCAGCUUCGGCAACAGCAACUCUCUAAAGCAAUUCCGUUUGUGAGGCCUAUAAUACAAUUCCACUUCUUUAUAUACGUCGUAGACGAUCAGUCGUCUAUUCUUGGGUAAGGACCAUAUGAAACGGUCUCUGUCAGCCUUACCAGCAGUCUGAGAUGAGCGUCCAAACCGAAUGUUUCCCCUCCGCUAUCCCUUCCCGUCUUCGUUUAGCAGCGAACUAAAGGAUGGCCUUUAUGUAUGAGCCGAAAAGGAGGUAUCUAUAGAGACAAACCAAACUUGCUAGUCAGGGAAGGUAGGUAAGUCAGAGGCAGAUCUAGGAAUCCCCUGGUGGUGGUAGUUGGGUUGGUGAAAUCCUAUAAUCGAUUGGCUUUAGAAAGGCGGCUUUCCAAACCUAGACAUUGUCACUGAAAGUCCUGCCUACAAGUAGGCUCCUCGACAACCUUCUUUCUUCUUUGACUGGCUUGGGAAAGACCCGUAGGCUAUGGAUCCAACUAAUGGAAUUGGGCAAUAACCAUAUUUCCAUGGUCUAGGUUCAAGGGCAAUACAUGGAGUAGAUAAGGCUUCAUGGACGCGUCAAAGGGCUUUGAAGGACUGACUCGCUAGUGCCCAGGGAUUGACCGGUGUAACUACUAAUUGACCUAAUAUCUGUCUUUUUCCACUGCCGGCUUAGUACCAUUACUGUAAGGAUGAUUGGUAUGCAGGGUUUAACAUUCAUGUAAAUCAAGAGAUUGACGGCUUUCAAACUAGCCAUUGUACCUGAAAGAGAAGUUGAUCUUCUUCUUUGGAGCUUGUUCUGGGUGACAAAGAGCAGCUUGCUUCUAUAAUUAUAUCAUUGCUCGACUCGAUGGAUACUUCUAGUGGUUUGACAGAGAAGCUGGAUGGUUUUUAUUUCUUUCAUUGGUGGCAUGGAGUCUUAGUGAGUUUGUUGGCACAGGUCGUGGUGUGGUAUGAUAGAAUUGUGAAAGGUAGGAUUGCGAUUGGAUGCUUCCGUUCUUCCCCUCCUGUCAUUUAAGGGCACCGAGCUUACAAUCACUAGUGAAAAGCCAAUUGACCCCGAGGCCUUGGCCAAGUUACGAGGAGGCGGAUAGAACCUCAAUCCCCUAUUAGGAACCUUCUCGAGAAACUCAAAAGACCAUAUGGAAAGCUGCUCCUGGUAGGAAAUUCUCUUAGGCAGCUGACGCUGCCCUUGCUCCUGCACGCACCAUUGGUAACCAAAGCUGUUGUAACGACUCGGCUGCAUCAGUUGUGGGAAUAAGUAACCUACCAAUAGUUUAUUAUCCGAUCGGCAUCUCGUUUGCCGCUGGCAGAAGGUUUGCUGGAAAUGAAUCAGACGUCCUAAUAAAGAAGGAAGACUGUGAUUAGUUCGAGGCGCUAGCUGUACUCUUUUGAGUAGCUGUGGUGGUACUUACUUUCGGUGGUAGAUCUUCUUGUCCGUCUGCUUCUGUUUAAGUAAGGAAUAAAGGCUUAUAGUUGAAUGGCACCGUCGAGAUCGAUUCAGAGUGAAACGGUUCCUCGCUAAAGAAAACCAACGCAAACAAAAGGGCAUUAGCACGAAGCAAAGACAUAGAGGGGCUAGCGCGCAGAGCAAUAGUAAGCUACUUAACUCGAGAAGAAGAAAGACGCUCUCGCUAGACUCAGAUAAUGAUAAAGAAAGAGCUCAUCUCUGGCCAAGCUAGCUCCGAUGCUCUGAGACUUCCAGAACAGUAUGAUAUUUCUUCACUGGCCUCACGAACCUCUCCGUAUGGCUGUGCUUUCGUCUUCCAACUCACUAGUCGUUACCCCAAUCAAUCUAAUACUAUGUUACGAGUACUCAGCCCCAUCACAUCUGGUUUUCUUGAAAGAAGAAAUUCCGUAUUUGGUUACUUUCGCUGUCUGGGAGUUCAUCUCCAUUCAUCACCCUCUUGAAGAAAGGGAAGCUAGAUUGGGUGGGGAAUGUUCGGCUGAGAGGAAUGAGCGUAGAAGGUUAAGCCCGAUUGGCAUCUCUGUAGUUACUGCAGUGGACUUAGGAUCGACCUUUUGUGAUGUUAGGAGCCCUUUUACCAGAAGAGAGGAUUAAGAUGGAGCCUAUUUACUUUGAAUGAAUUCAGAACAUCUGAAGAAGAAUAAAAGCUAGGAGUGAGGUUUUACGGGUCGGUCGGUACGGAGCAGAGAGUAUAGUAGGAAUUGACAUCCUUUCCUUCGUUUAAGGCGUGAGUCAAUAAGGAAGAAUGGCGAUCGCUUCCGAGAAAGCAUUCCUCCUUGUUGCUACACUACUGCCGUAUCUAUCCUAUUCGUUAACUAUAUUUCCUACCUCCACUUUGGGGGAAGGUUGGUUAGCUCUAUCGAACGAGGGUUAGGUUAGAAAACAAAGAAAGGGGGAAUUCGAAAAGACUAUUCAAAGAGUAGCGUCAAGCGUCGAUACUGACUUCAAGGAGACAUCAUAGAUGGAAGCGAGGUUUCUAUUUCAUAAAAGGUAGCGUAGCGGUUCAAGAGGGGGAGUCUCCUAGGAUUGAUUUAUCGUCAGGGUACCGAGUGGAAUCAGUUCUCUAGCGUAAAUCGACCGCUCUGCAGAAUCUCUUCACGGGGUACGAGAUCUCAUCCUCCUUUAAUAGGUAAUUCAUCCCUUUAUAAGGUGAGAUUCCAGUCUUUAUCUAAACAGACAUGAGCUCUAUGACCAAGUGAAAAGUGAAUUCGAAGGGCACUACUAAACAAGCUCUCGCUAAUACAAUACGGGGAGAACCCGGACAUGACCACUUCAUCAAUUCCCGUCUUAGUUUAGGGGGAAUGAAGAUACCGAAUAACUAAAGUCAGUUAGGGUGCCCAUGACCUGUAGCUUAUCUUUCCGUGGGGGCUUCUCUGCUUCAAUUGAGCAUCUUCACGACCACUGCUCGCACCUUCCCUUGGCAUCUAGGAAUUAGGAAUUAAGGCAGAUGAGUGGUUUUUUGAGGAAAGAAAGAGAUUGUACCUUUCUGACCCUUGUAAGAUCAAGGAACUGAAAGAACUACUAUCCAUAUAAUAUUAACUAGGGACUGGGAUUGCUACUACUAUAAAGGAGGAUGGGUCAAGGAUAGGUUGGGGACGAAACCAGAGUGGAUCUGCGCCAAAGCGGAGCCUCCGGAGAAGCCAACUCAAUGAAGAGAAGGAUCUUAGCGAACCAGAGCGAUUACACCCAAUGUGUUUUUCUAACCUUAAGCCAAAGUAGUAAGUAGUCAUUGUUCCUUAGUGCGACCUGUUGCGAGUAUUGGCGGAGGGCAUUAGUCUAGCAUCUUCUCUUUCCUUUCGGCUGGCUUAAUUAAGUAUUAGUCCGACCUCCUACGGCAGUAGCAGCAACUUACUCUUUUUUUGCCUCACUCCCCAAUUAGGCCAAAGUGCGUCAGGUUCAUUUCGGUGGGCCCGACAGUGGAAACGCAUCCAUGGGUCGUAGUUGUUGGUUAGGUAUAUGUUAGGAAAGAGCUUUCUUAAUAGUCGUGGGGGUCUGGGUAUACGGAUCCCAGCUUUCCGUCACUAAGGGCAUGGCGAUUUUCGUUGUUGGGAAAGAGGCAGAACUCCGACAAAACCUUUCGGAAAAGCGAGCUUUCAUUUGAAUAGUAGUCGUGCCUUCCUCGAGCCUUAUGUGUGGGGGGUCUAGUUAUGUUAUGCAGGGGUUGGACAAAGCAAACAACGCAAAGCAUGAUCACACGUCUUUUUUGGCAAUCAGAAGGCAGGAGGGCAAAGGCUUACUGGUGAGAGUCAAGUCAAAGCACUUUCUUUUAUUAAUACUCUUUCUGAAAACGAUAAUGAAGCUUCUCUUCUUGUUGAGGCCAGCCCGGUUGCUUCGUAAGUGAAUAGGGGUUUGUUUCGCUAAUGAAUUGGUUUUUGAGUUGUCGUGGUAUAAAUGGGGCGUGGUAUAAAAAAGCCCAUUGCCUUGUUGUUGUGUAGUUUUGAUUUGAUAGUGUUGGCGUCGGGAUUUCCUUAAGCGAGUUCAAGGAAGUGACGUGAAGGUUGCCUUAGGUAAGGAGCUGACGAGAGAAAGGUGUCGGAAUGGGGGAGAACUCUGGGCUAAGAGACUAUAUUAAGUGCUAGCGUAGCGGUAGAGCAAAUGGCAAUGAACCUUAUCUACUGUACUUGAGAACUGGAUACUUUAGCAAUAAAUUCCGUCUUGUGGGAAAGUCUUAAGUAUNNNNNNNNNNNNNNNNNNNNNNNNNNNNNNNNNNNNNNNNNNNNNNNNNNNNNNNNNNNNNNNNNNNNNNNNNNNNNNNNNNNNNNNNNNNNNNNNNNNNNNNNNNNNNNNNNNNNNNNNNNNNNNNNNNNNNNNNNNNNNNNNNNNNNNNNNNNNNNNNNNNNNNNNNNNNNNNNNNNNNNNNNNNNNNNNNNNNNNNNNNNNNNNNNNNAUUACCUUAACCCCGAUCCUGCCCUGCUUCAGCUUGGUUUCCGGAUUGAGUUAGCCUUUCCGAACCUUUGUUUUGCUUUCCAUUCCGAACCUUUGAUUAGAGUAGAGCGGUGCCCGAAUAGAAUAACUAAAGAGAAAAGAAGCUAGUGCACCAAUAAUGUCAGAAAGUCACUUGUCUCUAUUACUUGUUCUGGCAAACUCACAUUAGCCGAGAAAACUUGAGAAGAAUGAACUUACGCUGACGUAACUGGGUCUUGCUUAGCACCGUUGCUUGUGGGAACUGGCAAUACUGUAACUUCCCGCUGAAUCAUUAACUUCAUCUUUCACUUGCGCUACGUUUUCUUGAGACUCAAACUCUGCAUUAGAUUCGAGAUUAGGAUUCGGCCUUCUGUAUAAGAUGAAACUCAGACUGCUUCCUCACCAGAUUAAGCUUCUGCUUUAUACUUUGAUUCAAGAGUGAACUUUCCAAGCAUUUGAUUCAAGAGUGAACUUUCCAAGCACUGAACCUUGAGACUUGACUUGAGCAGUUGACGCACCGGCUUUAACACCUGAUUUACUUAAUGCAACACCAAGUAGAAAAGAUGGUGUUAGAGCUUUCUUGGACUCGAACGAAACUCAAUAAGGAGAUAGAUGCUUCACCGCAAGUAGGUAAAUAAGUGAUAGCGCAACGUAACAAGCAUGUGGUAGAGAAGUUAUGGAGCAAGCAAAGAAACAAACAAAUCAUUUAUGGAAUCUCUUAGCACCUUAUGAUUCAUAUUCCUCACCUGAUCCAGGCCAUUCUUCUAUUGUAAACUUCACAAGCACAGCACUGCUUAAGCGUUAGGUAGGCAUUCAAAAGGUGAACUCGAGACUCUCAUGCUGAUUGAAUUGCCAGGUAAGGUCUCGCUUAUCUAAGUUGGGCUGCUAACUUCCUUUAUACUGAACAAGAAUGAAUUGAAUCUCUAUCUCCCACGCAUGUAAGUCAUAUAUAUAUAUAUAGAAUCUAAAUUGAGAUCUCGCAAACAGGGAUCCGGGCAGAAGAUGACUCUGCUUUCGAGCUCAUAUACUAUUUUGCUCUGAUAACUCUGGGCUCGGAAAAGAAUAUUUAUCCUACUCUGAUUACCAACUAAAUAUCUAGAAGCUCUCGGUUACCUUAAGAGCUAUGUUAGCGCAAGCCUUGUAUUUUAGACUACUGAAAUGGAGUUAGAAUAGCCUGUAGUGGGGCAUUAGCAAAAAGAGUCGUUAACAAAGCGGAAACGCCCAGAAAUGGGAGUUGACACAACUUACUUUACCUAUAAUAGUGCUUGAACACCUGAUUGAGAGCGCAGAAAAGAAUAUCAUUGAAAUGGAACUGACACUGCAUGGUCAACAAGAACAAGAACUGGCAAUUAGAAAGCUUUUGAUAUUGAUCUAGCUUCUCUACACUUGAAGAACCGAACAAGUAAAAGGAUUAAUUGAACCUUUCGAGCGCAUGUAUAUAUAUAUAAGUAAUAUGACCCUUUCCUUUAUCUAUACUCAACGAUACUAUCUUCUUUAUACGCUUUCUUACCAACAGAGGACGGACGGAGAUCAUCUUUACGAUUCAACGGAUUUACUUAGGAAGAACAAAAAACGGAAUCACCUACUUACUUAUAAAUACGCUUCCCCUUACCCGAAAACAAUACUGGAACUUUCCCUACCACUUGAAGCCUCUGAUCCCGAUCUUGAUUCCUCUGAUUCUAACACCUCUGCCUCAGAUUCCGAUCCAGCUUCCAAGCCCGUAGUUGCUUCUAAUCUUUAUAGGGCUUCUUCUAUUUCUCCUGUUGAAGAUACUAUUCCAGUUUUUGCCUCUUUCUUCUCUUUACGACUUAGCUCUAACUGCUUCCUUUCACCCAGCUUGAACUUCAUCUUUCUCGUAAAGCUUUGGAUCUCGAAUACUUUCAUUGCACUGCUGAUAUAUGGGAGACUUUUUGUCUCGCUUACUGCUUACUUUGGCACUGAUCCAGAUCUUUCAUUUGGAGUUCACUCUCCUGUUACCAAAAUCUAUACAAUGCUAGUGCAAUUCCAUUCUCCGCCAACGGGAGCUCAAAGUCAUAGCGUUCUUUGUGCGAGUAAAGUAACCAAGAGAAUCCACUGUUGAAAGUAGAGUUAGGGAUGCAUCUAUUUAAGGAAGAGUCAGGGAACCAGCAGAAUAGCCCAGAUUAUCCAGCUCCACAGAAUGGGAUUUCAGAAUAUCAUAUAGAUUGUGACUCUAGUAUAGAUAAAGUAAUUCGCCAAGCGUAUACUAGAUCAGAACCAACUUACUACACUUUUAUGCUUGGCUCUUGUUGUUGGCAAAGGCGAAAUGGGCACUCCGACUACUAUACCUCUAAAACGGAUACUAGCAAUCCGGAAAGCGGAAAGGUAGGCUCACAAUUCCUAAGCUAACACAUUAGGUAUAAGAAUAGAGAAUAGAAAGUACUAGGAGCAGGCGAGGGAGCAACUGAAUAAGUCUUGUUCAUUAGCAGUUACUUGUGUAGUAGUUACUAGUUUGGUUUACAGCUCGUAAUCAGGGCUAUGGGUGCUGAGGUGAAGAAAGAAUAAGGGAUGAGCCUUUCCAGCGGCGAAGGCUAGAAAUUGAUAUAAGACUCAAACGGUCGGUCUUUGAAUCUAUCUCCUGCUCUUCUAUUAAUGAUAGUACUUGUGUAAUAGGCACAUAUAGGGAUUGGAUUUCCGUUGGGGGAUUUUGAGGGGUACAUACGAUGCGUAUAACGUGCUCAUAUUGACAAGUUAGGAGCUUCCCCCUUUAAUAACUAAUGGAGUUUCUGAAUCUAAUUGAUCUUCCCGCUCUCAAGUUAGGAGCUUCCUCCUGACAUAACUAGUGGAGUUUCUGAAUCUAAUUGAUCUUCCCGCUCUUCUGUCUGUCAUCUGUAAACUGGUAAGGGUAGCAUCUGUCCCGUGGGCGGUCGCUCAUCCCUCCACGAAGAACUGUCCUCUAGGCUUCAGUUAUGAGUGCAUUUUCUCUCUUUUUGCAUUCAUUGCUACUUCAUCAAUCUGACUUAUUAGUUUACCCCCUUGUAUUUGCUUCUCCUGAUGUUUGGUCGAGUAAUCCCAAUAUUGUAUUUUCUGGUACAUAAUUUAGGAUUGGAUGAGUAUUUCUGGUAGGUAAAGUCUAUCAUAUCUGGUCACCUCUGAUAUUCACCCUUAACCUUGAUACUCAGAUUCUUCUCAAACGAAUUGAAGAUAUCUCUAAUUAUCUUUCUUUGUUCUAUACUCAACACUCUUAUUAGAUGCCCUUUCUACUUAACCGACAAGACAAACUGAAUGAAUUGCCUUAACCGAACAAGCAACAGUCAUAUUCAAUGAGAGUAGACCGAGAAAGCCAGUACGUACUAUCUAUUUGCCCGAACGAUACUUGCAAAACCAGAGGAGCGGGCACGGCACCUCUUAUUCUUAUUCUCUCAUUGACAACAGAACUUGGUUGGGCUAAGGGAAACUCGGAAAGCUACCUAUCUAUGCUUGAAGAAGAGAAUUGGAGUGCACAUAGGCUAAAGUCACUAGUAAACUCAUCUAUUACUGCUGCUGGCUUGAAUGAAUCUUUGCUUUGCACUGCUUACUUCGGAGGGUGGGUUCAACUUCUAGAAAUAGGGGUUAUGAUCCCGAUCCAGCUCUUUCAAUUCGAACGGAUUCUUCUUUGUAAACUGCGGCUUCUCCUUUAAACUGAGUCUUCUCCUUUCGAUGUAUACUUUCCAUGUAUAGUACCUGUUAGUUCUCACUUAGUAUUACUUAAAACCUUACACUCCAUUCUUAAAGGAAGGAGUGCUAAUGCUCUAAAGUAGUCAAGUCAUAAUGCAAUUAGAGAGUCGCCAACAAGCACAGAUUAUACAGAUCCAGAGAUACAGCAGAUAAUCUUUCUGACCUUGGUUUAGCACUGUUUGCACUCCAUUCUUUAGUUCAAUACCUGUAAACUCUCUUCAGUAUGCAGAAGAUGGGUCAUACACCUUUACUCAGUAACAAUGCGGCUGGGCUGCCUCGCAACAAGUAACUCGCUUUAGCGCCUAUAAAACUGGUCUUGCACGGCUUGUCUAGUAGUGUAUUGGCCAAUAUAAAUGAUAUAUUAUCUUUGAUAAGAAAUGGAAUUGAUGUUUUCCAACUUACUUAAGAGUUUAUUGCGCCUGUAGCAUGAGAAAAAAGAUCUGAUAUCAUUUGUGACUUAGCACCGACAGAUUCCACUCGGGGCAACUUACUAUAAGGGCCUCAACUCGCACUCUCUCCUUGGAGCGUAAAAAGACUUUCUUUCUUGCCUUACUGAGUGGGCUUAUACUAACUGCUUAUUGGAAGGUUAUGACCAUUAUUCAGCAUCUGAAGUUGCUGGUUCAGAGGAUCUGCCUUCCCUCGCCCACUUAUUAUAUUCCUAGAUUGAUUCCCAACUGACAACCCUCGCUACUUUCUAUGACAAUUGAACUACUGAGACUCGAUACCCUCAUUUCUAUACUAUCAAAUUAGUUCUUUCAAAUCUGUAGAUUUUUUGCAUGUCCAAGCUAGGAAGAGAGCAAACCCGCUUUCAAUUGAAUUCAAAGAGGCUUUUCUAGUGGUUUCAUUCGCCUUAUGUUUCUAGUUUCAUGUAGAAGACCGGCAAUCCGGGUAGGUAGUAGCGACCAGGCCAGUUCCAGACUUUAGCCCAGUAGCAGACUUUAGCCCUUAUUGGAAAACUGCAUUGGUUUUUCUGUUAACUCGCCAAGCAACUACGUAACUUAUUUAGUAGGGGCCAAGCUAACCUUAGCAAGAAGUGGUGACGAAGAAAGGACACAGUUAUGACCGACAAGCAACUUCUUCACUCUUGAAUUCCUAAGAGACCACUUGAUUUCCUUCCCGCUUCUAAGCCUCCAACAAAGGACAAUGCCUACCGGUCUUCUCUCUCUUGCACCUCACUAUAAAGAAAGCUUGCCCCAACUCUUGACUACACCGGACAGAGGAUUUAUUACUUACGGAGCCAAUUAUACUUAAGGGCACAGGAUUUGAAGAAGAAAGAGAUGUUACCUAUUGUACUGAGCCUCAUGAAGUUAGAAACCCCUCUCCCUCUUUUUGCCGGUAACCAGAGUAGUACUAAAGCGAUGCACUGACAAUGCUAACUCUUUCUCGGGUAUAGUAAGUCAAGAAUCUAAAGUAAAGUAUCUGACCCCAUCCCAUGGAAUAUUCUCCAUCACCAACUCCUAGGGCUUUCGAAAGAGAAGAAAGAGAGGUGAUAUCACAGUCUCUUCGAGCGGGGCAGUGCAUCAAUCCUUCGAUUUCCACCCUUAGAAUAUUAAGAACAAUUAUGGUUCAAGUCACCCCUUAGAGUUCGAGUCACCCCUUAUCAUAUUAAUAGAAUCUAAGAUCAUAUAAGGAGAAUAAAAACACUUUAGAGCAAUUGUUUGACUUACAAUUGUAUGAAUCUGAAGAAGUACACUAUAUUUGAAGAUGGAUUUCUCAGCUCGUAAUGCUUGUAAACGAUUUGACCUUGUCCACGCCACCGUUAAGUAUUUCCCAAUCCCAUUUGGAUGUCUUUGCUGGAGCACUAAGUCAUUCCCAAUCCUAUUUGUAUUUUGAUAUCCUUGCUGGAACACUAGAACCUAUUGUAUCAUCAAGUCCUUGGUAAAUGGUGAACAAUUCUGAUUCUUCUUGAUUUGUUUCCGCUACAUACUCCCAACCAACACCAUCCAUCUAGGGAGCUGCCGAAUAACCUUUAUUUGGAUGCAUAAUAUAUCACUCAUUUGUAAAUCUAGGGAUUUGGUGAUUGGAAGGGUGCUUGAGUAGGUUGAACUUGGCUCUGAUACAAAAUGUUGAAAAGGCUAGGGGGAAGAGCUGGAGCUUAAGACAAAGAUAGGAAGGGGUGUAUUACUCACUCACUAUUACUAGAACUCUAUGGCCCUCAUUGCACAAUAAGCAUGGAUGGGGGGGGGGUUCGGUUCAUAUAAGUCCCUACCGAGAUACAGGUUCAUAUAAGUCCCUAUCGCAAAUAGCAUACAAGGAAGAUUAAUGAAAUCCAUAAUGAAAUCAAUAUCCAAUAUAUUAAGUAAGAUAUGGUAAUAUAAGAAGAAUAAUAAGAUAUGGUGUAAUAUAUUUGUCAAAGAAGAUUCUAUGGGAUUCUAUGUUAUCUAAUAUAUUUGUUAUUUCAUCUUUCAAGAACCAAUAUGAAUUUGCCCUAUAGGGCCUUAAAUGUAUUUAACCUCUCAAUACAAUGAUUAUAUGAAUGGUGUUUUGUAAGAAGGUCAUUCCAACAAUGAGUACUUAAAGGCUCCUCUAAAUAACUGGUAUGACUAUCGCAAUCGUGAGCAUCAGCAUGUAGGUAGGUUCCAGAUCAAAGUGGUAGUAUCGUCUCAGGGCCCUUAGCUAUUGCUCUUGAGGCCCAUUCCUCGAAAGAAAUACGUUUUUAUGGGAUUCCCUAUAAAGAAAUCCGUUUGGCCUAUAUUAUGACAACACAAACAAUUAGCACUUCUGGUUCCGGCAAACGAAUAAUUAUGUAAGUCCUCCUCUUUCCGGACAACACAUACAAAGAGACCCGCCAACAGUCAAGUUUGAAGUUACCUUCUGAAAGAUAACUAGAUUUGGAAUGGGCCAAGCAACUACGCAGCGUUAGAAACCCAGUUGCGCUUAAGGGAGUUCAGCAAGACGUUGUGCAACAAGUAUGAGUGAGUUUCAAGUCCUUUUUCUGGCUAAUGCGAGCUUUUGCUGUGACUUUUCCACUUGUUCCUCUGCAUGUUCUCUCCACUUUCUCUAAGAGAAUCCAUAAUAUCGUCCACUCAUAUUCAAUACACAAACAGUAUUCUAUCUCUUAACCAUGUACUCCAGCUAAGCUAUCGGCACCCGUCAUCCAUACAAUCAUCUUUCUUUCUUUCCUUGACGCUCUUUGGGUUCUUAUUCAUGGAGUGCACAUCUUCUAUCACAGAUUAUAAAACCAACCCUUCUAAACUCACUGCAUUGCUUCCUUUUCUAUAAGUAUAUUUCUCAAAACACUUCUGAUUUGACUUUCCGCUUUUCAUAGUAGUCAAAAAGAAUGGUUAUUAAAGAAACUCCUAUUCAUAGUAUACCGAAAUGUGUCCAUCAGCAGCCUUGGUUCUAUUUCAUCUCUUUAACAGAGAAAGCAAAGGAGGUAAAGGGGGUUUGUCAGAGAGAAUAGGGGCAUAGAGGUGGCAACUGAGCCUAAUAGGGCAAAGCAAAGACACUUUUCUCUGAUUCAGCUAAUCUCGGAUAGACUGGAGUCAAGAAUCAAACCUUAUAUAGAGCCAGCCGGCCAUAUAUAUACAUCUUUUUGAUAGAAUUUCUAGAAUAGAAGCAGCUCAUAAUUGACUGCUUUAGUUUGCUCGAUGCAGUUUCGAAUCGAAAGCUCAAAAAGGAAGCAAGCAGAACUGUUUACUCUCAGUCAGCUUCACCGCCCUGUUCAUCAUAAGAAAUCAAUCAAGCUUCAUCCUUCCGAAGUGAGAGAGAGUGCAAUAGGAGAACCAAAGCAAUAGAGAAAGAGAGUGCAAUAGAGAACCAAAGCAAUACUCUACUUCAGUACAACGCGCAGUUCUUGGUGUUAUAGAAAUAGUAUAUUCAUUCUAGCCGCCUAGCCUAAUUCAAUCUACUGACAGUCAAGAGUAUAUUCAUUCUAACCUAAUUCCAUCUAUGGAUUCCCGCCUGUGCUUUGUAUCAGAAGAAUUGGCGCUUUCUUAUCCUUAUGACAGUAGAUACUACUCGAAUAAAAAGGUUAAGGUUGAAACUCAAUCCGGACUUGAUUGUAGGAUUCCGCUGGUGAAAUGCAAUCUCCCCUUCGAAAGGUAUUGGCAAUCGAUUUGAUCUUGCUUGUAUUUGAUAGGCACACGGAAUUGGGAUUUAUCUAUUCUAUUCCGCUUCCUGAGAAUUGGGAUUUAUCUAUUCUAUUCCGCUUCCUCAAUUAUAUAUCAGAAAAUGGGAUUAUUUUAUAUGACCCAUUCAGACGGAUCUAUUUGAAUAGCUGGUUUUACGCGAAAGAGAUUGAUUUUGCCUAAAGCCUCAUUCGAAGAAAAUACUAGACUAUAUAUAUAUUAGUAAAGUAAGCUGUUGAAUGAGCCGCUGUCCCCGAAAGAGUUCUGGAGCGAAGGUAAGAAAGCAUAGCUUUAGAGAUCCACCCUACAAUAUGGGGUAAAAGCCAAAAGAAGUCAAUCGUUUUUAGCCACGAGAGCAUCAAAUUAGCAAGUGCUCAAUUCUUCUUAUACAACUAUCAUGCCAAGAAAUCCAAGUGUUCUUAUACAACUCGUGCCGAGAAAUCCAAGUGUUAACCUCAGCGAGUCCGGCUUGCUCUUGCGCCGAAGAUGAACGGGUCGAAGUUCAGAGCAGUAAAGGUGUUUGUUUCAGUAGAAGUCGGUUAUGCAUCGGUACCAGCUCUUUCAACUCUAAUCUCAAUUUCCUCAUGAACUGAUGCCAUACAUCUAACUAUUGGGAAUGCACCGUAACCUAGAAACUAAACGGAGAUUACACAAGCACCGGAACUAUACUUGAGAACAGGCCAUUCUACUGCUGACAAGCGCACGGAAGUGUUUUUCACUAGAUUCUCUCUUAGGGACACGCUAUCUUCAAUUCCAUGGAAACUGCCUACUUUCACAACAUUCCGGAUAAUGGAUUCAUAGCAUCUCCUCUCCUGCCUUCUACUGUAAAGGAAGUCAAGCUGCCUGUUUACAAAUGAGUCUAUACUCUUAUGACUUUUUCUUGUUCUGUUGACCUUAGAAAGCAAUGCUGUGUGACGAAUGGAGUUCGGGAUGCCGAUAUAAGUUUGUUAUGAUUGUUCCCUCCGUAAAACUAGAUACGUUGCUUGUUCCUCUAAGUGCUAAUUAUGACUAUAGUGGCGGGUGCUUUAGCUAAUUAUUGAAGAACUUCUAGAAGAGGGUGCUCUACUUAUAGAAUGAAGAACGUUACAACACUCGAAACUCUCUAACGCGUAACUGAAUCAACAAGCUUUGUAGCUCACCGCUCGCUAACAGAGUUUGCCGGAACAAGAAUGACUCAAUGGGCACCCCUGAACAAAAGAAUGGAAUAUAAGUCCCACAUCUUCCAUAAAUAGAGUAAGCUCACUCCGCUCUGCUCUGCCAAUAAACGCUACCGCUUAAUAACACUCGCAUUCUAUAUAAUCUAAGUAAGAGAAAGAAAGAGGGUUUGUUUGCCCCUGAGAAUCAAGUAAGAGAAAGAAGGUUAGCCCCAAGCCCAGAGAAUCCUGUUUAUUUCCUUAGAGAAAGAAAGAAGGUUAGCCCUAGAGAAUCAAGUGGAUUUCCCCUGCCUUUUGAUAUUCUGUGUUAUAGGGCGGUAGGUAAUAGUCAGCUGGCAGUAGAGUGAAAGUUGCAUUUCUACAUCUAAUAACUAACUUGUUAAGAGUAUAAUAACUCGAAAGUAGACAUAUUCCAGCUCGAAAGUAGACAUAUUCCAGAAUGAGUAGUACUCAAAACUCCUAUUCAAGACUCACUCACUAGGGCACAACGGGAAAAUCCAGAAGCAAAUAGAAUGAUGCGCGUUAGUCAUGGCUUAAGCUAGCCUAAUUUAGAAAGAAGCAAUUGAGUCAGUUCUGUUCUGUAAUUCUAAGAAAGAUGCAAGUCUUGUCUACGAGAUAUCUUCAAGUAAGUACUUCCGUAGAAUGGUAGUUCUUGUGCGGAAGAACUCUGUUAGCACAACGAAACGUAGCCGAGUACUCUUAUGAAAUAAGAUAUACCCUUUGUUUGCUUGCUGGUUCUAUAAACUCCAUACCAUCCAAUAAGCCGCGUUGGUGAAUGUCAGUGCGCCUAUUCUAUAAGAGAUUCAGAACCCUGCGUAACUGUUUUCAUUGUCCUUAAUUAUAUAGCCUUGUUGCUUCUUGCUUGAUAGACUCCAUUUAAAGAGUAACAAAUAUAGAAUGAAAGUGGACGAUGACUCUUUCUUGAAGUGAGAAUAUCGGCACCGCUAUCCCUAUAGAGAAGCAAGCCCUUGUGCCUUAGUGUGCAAAAGCCAUUGUUGCUUGUUCCGUUGUGCUAACGUAUGCGAAAGCCGUUGUUGCUUCUUUCAUCAAAUCUCACUAAUUUCAUCUAGCUACUCUUUCAUCAAAUCUCACUAAUUUCAUCUAGCUACACUACUUUAGAUUCCAGUAAAAACACAGUUCUGACUCACUUAGCUAAGAGCAUUGCUAGCUUUAAGACAGUACUUAGCUUCAUAAACACUCUUUUUUGAUUCAUUGGAAAAACCACUUCUUUAGAAAAUGACAAAUAGCCCGGCAUAAGAGAAGCUUAUUAAGGAGAGAACCCAUUGUAUACCGCUGUGUAUUGUAGAAGCAUAGCCUUAAUAACGGAUUGAACUAGUAGCAUAGCACUUACUCUUCCAGCCAUCGAAAACACUUUCCUUUCCCUUUCCAGCCCACCCAUACAGAAAGUCUCGAUUGAGAACCUUCCUUAUCAGCAAUAGCUUACAAAUGCUCCACUUUAAGCUUGAAUAAUAGGAUAGGAAACUCCGGUAGAAUAAUAAUAAUACAGAAGAUUGAGGGUAAUAGUACUCAUAUAUGGAAUAAUAGAAUCAAGGGUAUAAGAGUCCCGAAAUAAAAGGAUGGAAUGCACACUAUUGCGUCUAGAAGGAGGAGGAUUCGCCCCAAAAGUCAAGUGGACUUGCAGCCAUUAACAAUGGAAUUUGGCCAGAGGCUGAUGCCCCAUAAGAAUCUAAGAAACACUUCUGAUUCCUCGACCUGGGUGGAUAGGCUUAGGACAAAAAUAGGUGGAUUGAGGUUCUCUAGUGUGUCAGCAUCUCUUUCCUCUUCCUCACAGUUCAUUAGUUUACCAAUCCGUAGAAUCAAUGAAUAGGAACAUUGGGCAUCCCUAAAUCAAAAAGGAGCAAGACGGCUGUAAUCUGAGACGGUCAUCAACGGUUGGUCGAGGUUUUCACGCGGAUCGAUCGGGUCAAGCCGUAGUUGUUGGUACUCGGACCUCAUGCGACGUCGAUGCUAAGGUUGGCUCCAUACUAGGAUGAGUUUUCUGAUUUCUUCGAGAUUGGACUUAGAGAGCUUUUCUCAAUGAAAAAACGGAUGACAAAUACCAAGGAGGUGAACUUGAGCGGAGACAAGUCCUCGUAUAAAACGUUCACUGUCAUUCCAGGUACCAAGUCCGUGUUCGUUGCCAUACUCUGGUAAUCUAGCUUAAACAAGAAUAAGCUGUGAGAGAGAGGAGCCCCGCCGCCCGCAUCAUUGACUUUCCUUAGUGAUUUUGUAUGUAGUGGCCAUCCAUUGUAAUCUGCUUGCUUUACUGUCCCAGCCUCUUCUGAAAGAAACUAUAAAGUCAAGUCGUUAAAGAGAAAUAAGGGAGUUGAGUUGAAUUGAGUUGAGUGGGCUAAGAUUAUGCUCUUCUAUUAGAUGCGCACUUUCUUCUUAUUAUCUUCAUAUUCUUGGUGAGAGUGGUUUGAAUCAAUAAUGUUGAUGAUACAUAUAGAAUAACCAAACAAUGCUUACUUAAAGUCAAGGGUAAGGAAAUAAGGGUAAGGCGAGAAAGAAUCAACGUAUUAGCAAGAAACAAGCAGACGCCAAGUCACUACUCAUUUUGGACAGAGCCAUGUUUCAUACACACUAAAUACAUUUAUGGAACGGGGAAGAUAAGUAGAUAGGUAUUUUCCCAUUCGUCUUGUCUGCGUGGCCCUCAGUUGCCUUUUCGUAGUUGCUCGUCGAGUUUCAUUGCCAGUUUAGAGUUGGAUUCCCGGAUAGAAAUCUCUAUUCUUCUACUAUGGAGUUUCAUUCUGCAUUUUCUAUUUUCUGGUUAUUAGUAUCCGGACUUGCUUGUUCCAUUCCAUAUAUAGAGUAUCAGCUCAAGUCUUGUUAUCGCUAGUUUCAAGUUUGAAAGCGAGUAGUGGAAGGCCGAGAAAGGGAAUAAGGAAUGAGUGCAAAGGGGUAACGGCUGAGUUCCGGGGAGGCUAAUACAUCUACAUAGUGAGGAAGAACUAACCUAAGAACCAAUAAGAAUGCCGGGGACAACUACAAGAGUGAAACCAAAGAUAGUCAGAAUAAUCGCUAGUAAAGGAAGACUUCAUAUAAGGAAAUGUUGGGCUACCUCGAAAUAGGGAAUUUAGGGCAGUAAGGGAUGUUUUCAAGAAUCAAUCAAGAAUGAGAUAAGAUGUAUUCUGUUUUAUGGAUAUGGUUGUAAGGCCUCUCUAGUAGACAGAGUUGGAAGUAGCCAGAGUAGGAAGAAUCAAAGCUAGUGGUUAAAGAAUAGAAAUACUGGGGGUUGAGUCCGCCUUCUGUAAUUAAAUGAAAUCAUGAAAUCAAACUAUCCAUUAUCACCCAAAGAAAUAGAAUAGAGAAAAUAUCAUUAUCUAAGGAGAGUGUUUCCGAGUUUAGAUAGUAGAUUCCCUAUCAUUUGAGUUUACCUUGACUUUCACUACUCUUCUUCUGGCCUGAUGGUGCAGGUUUUAGGGCGCUUUGUUAUUGUUUGUUACGGAGUGUCUUAGUGUUAUAAAGAUAUAUGUGACUUGCCCCUCUAUUAAAGCUGCCUUUGUUCUUCUUGUUGAAAAGGACGGGUGGCUUACGCCCGAAUAAAGGACUCAGUUCUGGUUUAAUCUCCAUAAAGAAGUAGUUCUGUCAUUUACAGCCGAGAAUCAGCAUCAGCUGUUAGAAAGUAAUCCUUUUUGUUUGUGCGACUAGAGAGUAUGAGGUGUAACUCGCUAACUGAGUUCUUUCCAAAACAAUUCCUAUUUUUUUCUAUUAUGGAGCAAAAGGGAAGCAUUGAGUUUUUCAUAUGUGUCCUCCUCCAACAGCGAACUUUCCUGUUUUCGUAUCUGCUAAGGCGUCAGUGAUUUCUUUUCCAGUAAUUCGAGCCUCUAGCAUCUUAUGUUUUGGCUUCAUAGCUCAAAAGGAAAGAAGAAAUUGGGCAAAGCUAACCUUAGGAAGAACCGGGCCAAGUUAACGCCGCAACUACUAUGGUAAAGGAGAUAGGUCGGGGCGGAACUCCUCACUCUGGUAUUUAAUAAAACAACUAUAACAUAUAGGAAAGUAUUACUUACAAAUAAAGAUACAAGUAAAGACAGGUAAGAAUGGAGGUAGAUGAAAAAGCAGGUCGAGUAAUUGAACAGAGGUUUCAUAGAGCUAAUGGCAAAUUACCUCACAACAAGUAGCUUGGCCCCGUGGUGAGGAUAAAGAAUGUUACAGAUAAAAAGCAAAAAACUCGUUAUGGAACGGUAAACACAGUCUGAGAAGGGAAUAGGAACAUACAUGGAGAGACACCGGUAAGAACUAGAGUACCCAUACAUCAUCAUGUAUCAACUCAAAGGAAGCAGAGGACCGUAUAUUUCAUAUAUCAGGAUAAUACUUCUUUAUUAGUUUAGCAAAACAACAACAAGUCUCAAACAAAGAAACAAAGAAAGAAUUGGCAAUACUGAGAUAACAUGCUUUUAAGAACUGAAGGCGGGGCAUGGCCAAGUAGAAGAUGCAUGUCCAUAGGAGAUGUACUUGGCACAGGUCAGCGGUGCAGGAUCCAGCACGUAAACACCGUCCACCACUCUUGUAAAGAGUGCUAUGUAUCGUAAGCUCCUAAAAAACACAACACUCAGGGAUUCGGGGAGUAGGAAACGGAAUUGAAGGUAGGAAAGUCAGAUCAGGAUCGAAAGCAUAAGCUGUUUCAAUAGAAUAAGUGCGUCAAUGGCGUCUGGUAUAGUUGUUUCAUGAUUUGCGCUAACUGGAGUUGUGGAUUUUACAGGAGUUGUUGAUUUGACUGUUUGACUUGACCGCCCUUGUGACUAAUAUAACUCUCUUUACAGCUAGGUGAAUUAGAUCUGAGAACUGGAAUAAAGUGGAAAUGAAACAAGGCGAUCCGCAAGAGAUAGAUUCAAUGAUGAACUUCAAGUAGAGGUCCUUUACUGUUAAUAACACUUUCUGAGUGCCUCUUUGUCCCAAUAUCCCUGAAAGAAGUGAAACCUAUACUCGCACAAAGCCAUUAUUGAAAAACGACACCCACCUGUGCACUCAUUCCUAUUACGAAAGGAAGUAUUCUCCCAGGGAUUGAUUAGGGACCUAUACAGGACAGUUAGACUACAUCUAAACCCGAUGGAUUACCUUAAGUGAAGGAUCCCAUGUUGCCUUUUGCAUUUCAUUUAGAUACUAUGUCCGGGCGGGCCCCCCACAAAUGAACUCUUUCGCGCCGCAUUACCACCUUUUUGAAGAUAGUCUUGUAUCCAUUACUACCAUCUUUCGUUACUUUAUUCAAGGUUAGCACCAACAUUUAUUCCCUGCCGCGAAGGCUUAUACCAGCUCCGAUUGAGCCCCCGAGAUGAAAAGCACUACACGGAGAACCCAGCUAACAGAGGUAAGACGUGAAAUAGAGAUAGUUUAUAGCUUACAUUAGUGGUGUUUAGUAGGAUGACUCUAGCUUACAUUAGUGGUGUUUAGUAGGAUGACUCUAGCUUACAUUAGUGGUGUUUAGUAGGAUGACUCGACUUCCACUUAUGCUCUUUGAACACAAACUACACUUUCAACAGGCUCCUUAGCGCAACUUAAAACAAAGCUUGUCUGUUACUUGGAGGGUAUGAUGUAGCGCAUACUGCUAAUAACUAUAAGAUAUAAGAAAGGAACUACUGCCCCAACUAACAGGGCUUUAACUCAAAACUAGUAACAGGUACUGGGCCUUACUUGUCAUUAGCCAACCCUUACUUUUAUUCAUUUCAUUCUAUAGCUUACUGAACGGGAACCCUGCUCUACUGCCUAUAAUAAGCCUGUCGCUACUUGCUUUGAUUCCAACUACUCGGACACUGAAUCUAUAUCUCUUUGCUUUCGUUCUUUUAUAUAUGUUGAUGUUAUUAAUUGAAGUAUUCCUUCCACGUAUAUUAGAGUGGGUUUUGUCACUUAUUCGCUCUCUUAUGAUAGUAAUUAGCAUUAGAUACAUUCUCUUAUAUAGUAGGUAUCGUUGGGGUCUCUCACUAAGAUAGGACAGAGUGCAACUCAAUAGUAAGCACAUUCAAUCAGUACCCUGUGGUGGGCAAGAUCAGAAGCCGACUCCUCACUUCUAAUAUAUAACUCAGUGGAUCAAAUUCCAAAGGAAGAAGAAAAGAACCACUAGCGCCCAGACAACCCCCAUUCUUUUACCUGUGAAUUAGAGCCUGCCAUUCCCAACUCUCACUCUUCAGCACUGGCCAACAAACCUUACUUACAAACAAUAAGCCCUUACUGACUUUUCUUCUUUAAACAAUGAUUCAGAUCUUUGCUUUUAAACUGACAUCACAUCACUACUAACAGGACUUUCACUGCUGUCUUCCAUUCUCUGUACUUGGGUAACUAUCCCUUAUUACCCCACUGCUUUACUUAGAUCGAUGGGUCUGGUCUCAUUCUAAACACUACCUUAUACUAGGCCUACUUCCCUUGCUUUCACUCUGAUACUAAUGCUACCUUUACUUUAACAGGAAACUGGGGCUUAGCUGACUGCUACUGCUAACGAGAGAAUCAACCCUGUACUGACAAGAAUGAGCCUGGGAAUAAAGAAGAAAGGUCUCCACUACAAGACCAAGGCAGAAAAAAGAGAGAAUGAAACCCUGCUGUCCAGGCCUUAUGUCGUCUAUACUGCGAAAAGCCUUAUUCACCUCACUCAGCAGUCCACGCCUUACUUCCUUAUACACCACUCCAGACUUGUUCCUUUCAUUCCUAUGCUAUGUGGUGCAGCCUCAUUCUCUGACUGACUCCCGUAAUUCUUGUACUUAUUAACCUCCUCCUUGCUUUGUCGCUUCAAACUACCUCUCCAGUUUCCAGUGAAAUUACUGUUAGCACUAGCGCGAGCCUAUAUCCCAGAGAGCGGUAUUCUACUUAUGAGUUCAAUCCUGAUGCGCUUUUUUCUUCUUUUACUUACUACUCUUGGGCUUAGCCCGGGUAUACUCACUUACAUAGGUAGCAUUCCUAUUAGUUAUGGUUUGAUUCUCUUACUGGUAUGGAUUUGAUUCUCUUAUUUGCAGUAGUAGUAGAUUGAUUCCCAAGUUCUAUUCUUUUCGGCAGAGUGAUAUUAGCCUAAUAGUUGUCGGUAGCAUUCCCAGUUUCGAGUUAUCACAGUAGAACCUCUGUGAACUGUUUCUUAUUCUUGAGCUGCUGAUCCCAAGCCCGAUACACCUUUCUUUAAGUCUUGCUUUACUGUCUAUCGGCCUAUGUCUCUUUGCUUUCAAGCUGGAACUGCUCACCUCAAACUCUGAUAAUAAUAAUAAUGAGUUUGGUUCUUUCUAUCGCAUAGCACCUGUUCUCUUUUUAUUACUAGUUGGAUUCUAACAGUAUGGGGCACUAUAUCUUAUUCUAAGUAUAAGUAAAUAACACUACAGGUCAAAGAGGCACAUAAGAAUUUCCGUAAUAAGUAUAAGGAUGAGAUAAAGCAAUGUCAGUUUGCAAGCGAAUAGUGGAGGAGCCGGUAAAGCAAGGAUCUGAUUUCGUAUUUCAAGAAUAGAGGUCAGGUUGGAAAAGAGCUAAAGCAAAGGUGCAAUCUGUAUUUAAAGAAAGAAAAGCAGCAACAGCUCCCUUAGGGAAAUGGGUAGUAAGCCUCAUAUAAGGGAGCUUUGGAGUGAAAGUCAAGAGUGAGGUUUGGACUGCUAUUAGGUGUUGGUUGUUGGACUACUACUAUCUGAUCGAGUUCUUAUAUUGAUUAGUGACAUACUGGAUGCGCUAGAGCGUACCCAUAUUCUUAUUCCGGAGUUCUAAAGAUGUAUAAACAAGUCAAGAAUGAGGGUCGAUAUCCUUUUUCUCAGUUUCCGGACUUUAGGUUCUCCUAUCUGAUGUCCCUUCCCUUGACCACCUAUCCUCUUGCUCCUCUGUCUCAUCUCCCUCCUUGUAAUGAUUCUGUUUCUUCAAUUCCCCAAUUGAUUCUGCGUUAUGACAAUUCCUGUCUUCAUCCUCAAUUUAUGUGUUCGGCAGGCAAGCUACUACUCUGCUUUACCCGCUUCUGGCUUCUGAUCUUAAAGACAAUCAAUCAGACCGACCAUGCUUGUGGUAAGACCUAUGUUCUUAGUGGCCCACGGAGCACCCACGUAGCGGUAAAGAACAGGAAAAGCUUUAUCCACUUAAGUCCAAGGAAGGAGUUACAGCACCCUGCAUAAGAACCAGUUAUUCUGCCCCGAUCUCUCUCUAUUUGAAUGAAAACAGGCGGACUUCUCUUGUAACUACUGAUUCUCGGGUUACUAUUAACUGAAUUAGGCUAGGCUCCUCUCUUAACCAACCCGACCUCAACUCUGUUAACUAAGACUUUUAUUGCUCCCGAGCACAUAGCAAGUAGGCAAGCUGCCUUAAUAAGUAAGGGUUCAACUAGUUGACUUACUGCUACUCUGGUAUUGUAUAAGAAUACGGGCCAAGCUGCAAAGAGAAGAUAUCCUUUAGUGGGGGCCAAGCGUAUACUACAAAUAGGGUAGCUGACAACCAUCCCUAGAGGGUAGCUGACAACCAUCCCUAGAAUAAGAAUAAGGGACCGGUCUUCCUACAACUACUGAUGAAACAGGACUACCUGGACUACUAGACUUAACGAGCACUUAAACGAGAACUCCGACUGUUGCUCACUGAAACUACACUUCCCACUGCGCUUGCCGGCUACUAUUAAUAGAAUUAUUACUUGCUGAAUUCAGAACUAUUGAUUGCUCAUCUACAUAUUGAUACUGCUUGCAACUAUACCUCUGAUCUUGCUCUUUCAACUCACAACUCCUGUUCUCUUGCCCGAACUAACUCUAUCUUACUUGCCUCUCUCUCCUCCAACAGUGACACUCGUCUAGUAGUGACUUUGCGGACUCAGUAAAUCCGGCCUUGCUCGUUGUGUAAGAAAAUGCGUAUUGCUGGUGUUCAUGCCGAGCCUUACUUCAUAGCUCCAAGCUUAGUUAGAGUAUCCCUCUCCCUUCUCUCGUUCUGUUACUCGUGUUGUACUUAAUUAACUCUGCUGGAACCCUUGCAGUGGGACUAGGGGGAAUUUCCCUAAGUAGCCAUGGGACAGGUGGGCAAGGGAAGUCACCCCCAAAACUCACCCCCAACCCCAGGAAUUCCACUCUUCCUCUCUGGCUCUGUAAACUAAUCAAGUGAUCUUCUUUCUUGCUCUAGUAUAGGCUUUUUCUCUUCUUUCUUGCUCUAGUAUAGGCUUGUCUACUUGGCCCUGAUGUCGUAGUUGGUUUAUUACUAAUAUAUAUUAAACGGAGCUCUUUCUUCCUCGCCUGUAGACUCAACACCAUCCCCUCUUGCCUCUGAUCAAGUAGACCUAACUCACCCGUUGUAUUUAAUCAUGGAUUCCCUCUUUCCUUAUGAGGCUAAUAUAACUUAUAGCUAAUCUUACUUAUAUGCGGAAUAUUUGUCAUAACCCUAGGAAUAUUUGUCAUAACCCUACUUUGGCACUGUAGAUUCAACUAAUAGCUGCUUCAAUAGAAAUAGAAAACAUAUAGCUAACCUGCCCUCUCUUGCUCCACUUUCUUGAUUUUAGGAAUGAUUUCUUUCCUUCCCGGUAUUGACCUCUCCCUUGCAAACCUAACCUAUAUUUGAAUGAAAACGGAUAGGCUAAAGGAGCGGAUGUAGGAAUGAAACAAGUAAGAAUGAAGCGUGCUCUCUCUUUGCCUUUGCCUCAAAGCCUUUACCUGCUCCAGCUGAUUGACUUUGGCACACUUACUAUAUUACUAAUAUACAAUACCGGAGUCGAAGAUAAAGCAUCGAAGAGAAACUAAAGCAUCCGGUGCAGAGCAACUGUCUUACAUCCUAAACCUUGCCCCUGCUUCCCUGAACCCUGCCCCUGACCUUCAACUUAAUGCUCUUUGAACUCUCCCUCGCAACAGCUACUAGGCUUAUUAACCUUAGCAACAUUAGCAACACUGGAUUGAUUUAUUGAUUGAUUUAUUGAUUGACUCCCCACGCCUUAACCUCACUUGAGAACUUGAACUUUACUCUAAUCUACCUAUGUAAACUAACUACUACUGACCAAGUACUACCGGUCUUCACCUCCAGAACUGCUUCCCUUUCUGACCCGACCGAUACUGUUACUACUGAGUUCUAUUCUUUGUUUGGGGCUUACUUCUUACGCAGAGAGCCGGUAGUUUCUUUCCUCUUUACCAAUAGGCAAACAACCACUUUGAAGCAAGUAAGACUCAAUUGGGACUCCGGAAUAACUCGUUAGAAUUGCAGUAAUUAAGGGCACAGGACAGGACUCGUUCACCAAAAGCUGGAUCAAUAGUAGGAACAGGAACAAGAUCGGGAUCUUAAUCUUAGUCUCAAGCAUCAGCAGGAGAAGAGGAAGGACCUGAAGCUGUUGAAAGAGACAGAUCAUUAGCUUUAUCAGUUUCCAGAGCGGGAUCAGCUCCAGUGAGAGUUUCGGUUUUAAAUGAAAGCUACGUUUGAGUUUCAAGAUCAAGGUAUACUUCAGCGGCGGAAUGGACUGAAUUAGAGGGUUAACAAGCUAUGUCUUUACUUUGUUCUAUAUCAGGGUUCUAUAUCAGGUGCUCAAUAAGAAAGAGAGAUAUUCCAUUGGGUAAAGAAAGAGAGAUAUUCCAUUGGGUAGAAAAAAACCACUGGACUUACGCCUUAACCGCUUGCUACUGGACUAUUUACCCUUGCUUGUACCGAGUCAAACUCAUUCAUGGAAAUUGGAAACUUCCGUUAGCGCACCAGUCACUGAUGCUUAUCCAGCGGAUUCUUAUUACUCUUAUGACUCUUAUUACCUAUAUCUAUGCAAUACACCCUUAUCUGAUUCCUCUUCUUCGAGACGAACAGCUUAUUCGGGAGUUCAUACUGAAGAAGAUCCAGAUCCUUUUUAUUUAUUAAGAAGAAUAUGACACAAGAACAUCGAUUACACUCGGCACCGACGUCAAGCGUCAAGUAAAGCAAUGAAUUGACACUCGAACUACUUAUUAUUCUCCUGCUCCAUCUCUUCCCUUUAGCGCCGAGGAAAACACAGAAUUCAUUUGAUAACUCCUUUAGUAGCUACUCAAGUCUGGGCCUGCUCCUUAUUAUUAAGAUGAUACUGUUCCUUUCCACUUGACCGACGCAGUUAAAUAAACCCUACUAAACAGAGGACUUGCUCAUAACUCUCAAACGGUAACAGUAGUAGCUUGUUUCAGCCUAGUUCAAUUCUAUAGUAGUGGGGGCUUUUCUCUUACUUCAGAGUGGAAUUCUUAUACAAGGUUGGUAUAGAGCACUAGGUGAGUUACCCAUAUCCAUUCAAAGAGCGAGGAACCAGAAUUCUUCCGUUGAUAUCUUAGCUUGUUUACUUGACUCACCCCUGGAAUAUAGGAUUGAUGUCGGCACCCUUAUGAAAGAAGGAACACUGGAUCAGUAGGAACUCGAUAAGAUGCUGUGGGAGUGUUUGCGGUAAGUGUAGUUGAGUUCGUGGAAGAGCCGUUCGGGAAAGAGGAGUAAGGGGAAGAAAGGACUGACUCAUAACUAGCUUUUUAUAGAAUAUAGAAACACCUAUUACUAAUGGUUCUGCUCUACCUGCUUACAGAAACGAACAUAUGACUCUAGCUUGUGGUCGGUGCGCGGAUGUAUAGUAUCUACACUUUUGGUUCCAUAUUGCUUUAAGAAUAUAGGAUUAAGUGCACACAUCAACCAAUAGAAGAGAUUAGGAACCUUACCUUACAGCUGACAGCAUUGCUUACGGAAAUGGAUUCUACCUCCUCUAGCCUAAGAUGGAUAUAAUAACGUAAACAACACUUCUUACUGUACUGAGCUCAAUCCUCUGCUCUGGCUGCCGACUUCGACUCGCGUUCCAUUCUGUAACUCCGUAUUGAAAGACUAAUGGCUGUAGAAACACUAGCACCCGACCUAGCGCACAUCUCCCUGAAUGCUUACUUUCACUUAUGGGCAUGCUAUAUAAAUACGGAUGGAAUUGACACCCCGACCCGACCUCAGUUAUUGAUUACUUACUAGCUGCCUCACCUCUGGCUCCAAUUCAUUUAACCCCGCUGGCAACAGAUACAGAAUAUCACUCAUAUGACCUAUUCUUCCCUAUGACUUGAAAUCAGCAUCUUCCCUAUUACUAGCAAUUAGCCUAUUCUAAGUACUCUUAGCAAUUAGCCUAUUCUAAGUACUCUUCCCUAUGACUAGUACAAUAAGCCUAUGCCUAUUCUAAGUAAGGACUAUUACUUUCAAUCCGUAUCUAGUAGUAACUUGGCUUGAGCUCUCCUACUUAAUGGAUACAUUCCCUUUUUGGACCGAUUGCUGCUGGCUCUUCCAACUAUCCCUAGCAACUUUCCUAGACUAGAACGAAAGUGACCUUUCCACUCUAGUAGUCGCUUGGUUGGUAGUUUGCGAGAGGAGAAGCAGCGUUGUAUCCUGUCCCCGUGUUGCAGCAAGUGGUUCUUCCAGUCUUGUAUCUAAGUCAUAGAGAGAGGAGGAUUCAAUUAACCGAGUUGUGGAUUCAUUUCUUUUAGUAGAGUCAGCUAGAUCAGCAGUCGGAUAAGAAAUAGGAUAAUCAGCUUCAGAAGGAAGAGGUUCAAGAUCAUAAUAAGGAUCAUCAGCAUCAGAUGGAUAAGGAUUAGGUUGAGCAGAUCCAGCAGUCAAGUAAUAUGUGAGUUUUGAAGCAAUAAGUGAGUUUCAGUAAGCAGAUAGAGCAGAGCCAGCAGUCAUAGGUAGAGCAGAAUCUUCAGUGUGAGUAAAGUCUACUUGUUCUGUAGCUGCUUCUUUAACCCGUUAUAACUCGUUAUUAAUUGUUUGAUUUGUUAAUAUCUUGAAGCUUUAUUUGUUAACAUCUUGAAGCUCUGGGUCGGGUCGGGGAAGAAGAAAUUCCUUCUGAAGCUACUGUUAGCGAGUCAUUGGUUUAGUUCGACAGAAUGAAUUUGGAAUGCAUUUGGCACAACGGAAGAAUCCGUUUAAAGAAGCUAGCAGAGCAUAUAUAAAAUAACCGGGUAAUACGAGAGAGAUGAUGAAAUGAAACAAGCAACUGAAGAUGUAGUGCGGUAGACCAGACCAGGCAACAAAAUGGAAUCAGUGUCGAGUGUUGCAGCUGUUUAAAGAUCGGAAGCCAGAUCAUCAGCUGUUCGAGUUUAGUACUAAUGCGGUGAUUGUGUUGUAGUUGUCAGAGGAAAAGAAGCCGAAUGCUCAGCUGCUUAAGUCCUAAGUGGUCCAGUCCAAUCCAAGCAUUAAAGUGAAGUAAGUAAGGAUGCAGGUGCAAGACGUAAUGGAGAGAGUAGGUGACUUUCCCGCUUUCCGGGGUGCAGAGGUUCAACUUAGAUAAAGAGGUGAAGCGGAAGCAACUGGUAGAUCACAAUCAUCAGCUGGAGAAGGAUAAGAAGAAAAGGUCUAGCUUAGAACACCGACAGCAAGCAGUACAAGCAAGGGAAAAAGCAGAAGCCGAAUAGCCUAGCCUGAUCGAAAGGGUGAACUCACAUUAGGAGCUACACCGAGAUCUUAUGGAGACUGGUCAGAAACUGGGCCUUAAGUUGAAGUCAACAGUGAAAGGGAUCCAGUGUAUUUACAAAGUUCUAUACCACAAGUGAUCGACGAAAACAGGACAUCUUUUACUGCUCCUGCGGAUUCUUUAGCACAGAUCUAGAUUCUUCUACUAAAGUGUGAGUUGACUCUAAACUCCAAGCAAGACUAAAUGCAUCAGCGAGGGGAAGGGGUAGGGGUGUCAUAGAAGAUGUAACACUUCGGUAGUACUGGUAGUCCAGGUAGUCCUGUUCGAGGUAAGUUAGAGUCUAGGUGAGAGUAGAGUAGUAAGGCAGAGAAUCGGAUGUAAACAGUUCUAGCAAAUCAGAUCUUGUGCAACGCAACGGUAAGAGCUCCUGUAAUCAAGGUUUUUCAUAACAAUGACCAUUUCCGUUUUAGCCUUUCUUUACUGGUAAAACCUGCAAAUAAGGAGAAGGUGUAACAGCUGGAUGUCAAGUCUGCGUCGUUAGCACUUAGGAACGUAGCUUGAGCGGGGCGGGCCUCUAGCGUUAGCGAAUGACUAUAAGGCGGGUUGGGUGCGAGCGAGUGUAUAAUAUGGGUGAUUUUUUCUUGUUUGUUUCUUCCCUUGCUUUAAGAAAAUAAGAUUAAUGAAUGGGAAGCCUCACCCUUAAGUAGUUUAGUUUCGUACAGGUAUACAACUACAGCCUUUGUUUAGUGCCGCGUACCCUCUCUGUCACCAAUGGAAAUGAAAGCACCUGUUUUAUAUAAUUGAGUAACCGAACUCCCUACUCUACGAACAAAAUACUCUGUUGCUCUAGAAACGAAAAACGAAGCUUCCGUUAGCACCUGCUCGAGUAAGCGUUAGCCGAUUCAGACGGGCACUCUACGGAAAUGAGAAAUCCAUAGUUAAUUCCCUUCACCUAAGCUUGGUUACUUGUUCCCUAGGCUUGUUCGAAAGAAAAGAGUAAAAGUUCACAUCGACUAUAAAAAGGGGGUAACUGAAAUGCUUCCUCACUGCAUAGCUUCCAAUAAAAAACUCUACCCUUGUGGCCUUCGCCUAAGCUUGGUUACUUUUUGCUAGCACCGUGAUUUGUUCCCGCAGCUUGUUCCAUUGCUUUAAGACUGGAAUUGAGCGAGUAUAGAAGUCAAGUAAACAAACGGAAAAGGAAUGGAAUGAAGUUCUACUUAUUAUAUAAGCAAGUAACAACACAGUAACAUAUUACUCUCGAGGCGCCAACACAGUUAUGUUAACCGUCCUGAGAUGAUCUUCACGAUUCAACUCAUUAAUAAUGGAAUUGCAGCUUAGCUUACGUGGCUUGCACCUUCACUUCCGCAUUCCAAAAGAGAUGAGCUCAUAUAUACGAUUACAUUCUCCAAGAGAUGGAUUCGGCUUCUAUAUACAAUUACACUCGCAACAAUGGCACAAGAACGGCCCCACCCUAACGGAGACCAAAGUGCUUUUUGCUCUAACUCUGGGAAACUCUUCUUAUAGCUCAUCCAUCAUUUCAACUUAGAAACAGUCCUUUAUAAUACAUUUGGAUUAAAAACAUUGACCUAAGAGUACUUCUGCGCAAGGGCUUCUUCAGUCCCGGAGUCUUUCUUUCACAUCUAGGGUAAGGGUGGGACUCAUUUGCUUGCAGAAAGCUUAAGUAGGCUAGGCUGUUGCUCCUUGUCUACGAGAGAGGCCCCAAAAGGACUUGUAGUUGCUCGUCUGGUUGUCUGGCUUAACCGAGACUAAAGCUUUACUUAACCAAGUAGUGGUAGGUAUAAGAUGGAAAGUAAACUCGAUAAUCCGCUGUUCCAGUGAAGUCUGUGAUAGGGGAGAAAGGUUCAACGACCAGAAAUGGGGGGUUGUUCGCGGAGACCAGAAGUCGGGGUUUCACUUUACACGGAUAUAAGAAAUAGGACCAUCCAAAUAGGGGUGAACAUAGCAGUUUCCGUUUUAGGGAGGAGUACUUGAUUGUUGGAGCGCGGGUGCGAGUGUUCUCGAUGAUAGAAGCCUUUUUCCGCCUGACGAUCCUCUUUUAUUGAUGAAUGGAAUCUUUCGUAUCGAGCACAAAGUAUAGAAUCCAGAUCUUUCGUAUCGAGCACAAAGUAUCCAAGAGAAGUUAUUGUCUCUAAGUCUGUUCACUGAGCGGUCACCUACCUAACUCUCUCUUCAUUUCACUCUAACUAAUGCACUUUCUCUUUCCUCGCUCUACUCUGAUACUACUUCACUUUCUCUUUCCUCACUUCACUCUGAUACUAGUAUAUGGGAGAAGACAGAAUGAUGUAAGUUGCGAGUGUUGUCUACGAGUACGGUGGAAAGUCGACAAUAAGUGCAGAAUAGAGCUAUCCACAAUCAAAUCAUCUAGCGUGAGUGACACUUAUAGAAUAGAAGUAACAACACCUAACUGCGAAACUCACUUAAGUACAAAGCUCACUUGUUCCAUUACUUGUUCCAGCAAUAGCAUCUAUCUCGCAACUAAUAGAAACACAGCCGAAAACAUAGCUUACUGCUAACAAACUCCUUCAAAGAAUUGCUGACUGACUACUGACGACUUUCUGACUCUUCAUUUAUUGUGACGCCUAUGCUUAUAUAUGAUGUUCGGUUCUUCUAUUAGUGGAAGUGAUUAAGCAGUGAUGUUCGGUUCUUCUAUUAGUGGAACGCUAGGCUUUACUUGCGCUUCCUUACUUUACAAGUCUUCGGGAAUGGAAGUCAGAGAGCUACAAAGGCAUAAAAGAAGUUCUCUUGCUCGCUGCAGGCCCAUUGCCCUAUGGCCCAAUCGCUGACAGUUACCUCCGACCAAGAUAAUAGGAAUAACCAGAACACGCGGAAGCCCUUCUUUUUGGGUUAGUAUCUUUCCCUACUAAUGCAGGAACAAGCAAGGGUGAAACUCUGCCUCUAAAUGGGACAGGAAGAACCUUAAGCAUGAAUAGUUGGGCUGGUUGGCUCACAUAGGACCACUACCGGGACAGGACGGACUACCAGGACUAUUAUGCUUCCCCCUCUUAGUCAAGCACAAGCAAGCUCCUGACUCGGCUCCUUUCGUAGGACACGAGGGCGGCUAACCUGCCUACACCUAUGUGGUUUCGUCUUGGCAUUUCCUCUAAGUCAGGAUCGUAUCUUUCCAUCCAAGAAAAAAGCUCUAUAGAAAAAAGGUCUUUCAUGCACUAUAUCCCAUCCAAACCUAAUUAGCCCCGGGUCACAAGCGGGUAAACGUCUGGGCGGAGUAUUAACUAUUCACCGAAGCCCUAGUAGGAUCAGGAUAAACUAAAGAGCUAGCUUUAGACCUUCGGGGCACCUUGCUUCACGCCAGUCACUAUCUUCUGAAAGACCGAUUCUAGAUCACAGACACACCUAGUACUUUGAUUCCUUCUUUCAAUCAAUCGAGCAUUGACUGGAUCUUUAAGGCUUCGCUCAUUCUUCCACCCACCAGUGAUAGAAGGCUUUCGAAAACCAAGUCAGAAAAUGCUUGCUUUCACCCCGGUCAAGGUAAAUCCGGUCUCCGUCUGGCAGUGGGUCGCCAAAGAAUUGAUCCCCGCAAAGAUUAGACCCCCGCCUGCUGCUGGUUGGUUAAGACCAGCGGAUGAAACAAUGAAGUUUUGACUAGCGUCCAUCCCUAUAGGUCUCGAGGUCGGAACCCUAUUUCUCUCUCCUUCGAUUUAUGCCUGCGAAGGUCCCCCAAAAGGUAUAAGAUUCUUAGCUGAGGGAAAUGAGCCAUGAUCAUGAAGUGAAAAGUACGUGGUAACCAAAUAGAAUGGAAAAGUACAGCCUAUCUCGAUUAGCUGAUCGAAACCUAGCGCAUCAUGUUCUCGAGCUUGACUUACAACUGUUAGGUUUUAUUACUUAUCGACAAGCAACGCUAGAUCGGGUGGGGAAGAAAGAGAGAGUAUAAAGCAGGUCCGGGUUCAGGAAAGAAAGAAGGGUGAAGGGAUGCGCCUAUGAUCUGAGUUUUGCAUCCGCUGUUAGGAGUGAAGAGAAAAAUGUUGCAUAGCGCUCAGCGCCGAUACUUGUUCUAUUCCCUUACCUUCUUGACUCACAUCUUAGCCAUGUACAGUUUACUUGCGUUGCGCUACGGUUCUUUGAUACUUGACUUCUGCAGUUGAUCAUUCGAAAAUAGAUAAGGCUUACAUCCAGAAUAUAGUAUAGUAAGUAAUUCAGAUUUCCUUAAAGAAAGAAUAGUAAACAUCACGUAAGUAAUGAAUACAACAGUGUGAAACCGCCCACAGCACGCACGAAGAGUGAGAUCUUGCCUGUUUUCUUUUUGAUGUAUGCUCGCCUGUAGCCUUGAAGGAAAUCUGUUCAGCUGCGCCAAACCAUCCGUUUCAAAAAAGGAUUUCAGGGGGGAAGAUGGGAAUCUCUUUUCAGGCAAUUGGAAAGUUUGCAGAACCGUGAUAAAUACGAACUGUCGAGCUACUCUGUUAGGGUUGUAUCAUACUAAAGUGCCUAUAACCCCAAACCCUUGAUAUAUAUAUUCCAUACUCUGCUCCUCUCAGAUACACCCUUUGGAUUUCUUUGGUAUACAUUCCUUUGCCUUUGGAUUUCUUUGGUAUACAUUCUUGUGAAAUCCAGCAUGUCCCUUUUGCUUGAUGACCUUUUAGCAAUCUCGAAGCAGUAAACUAGGAGAAGCGAAACAAGAGAAUAGAAAACUAACUACCACAAAGCAAAGAGAAUCGGACACUCAAUCCUAAAUUGACAUCUGCCUUCUCAUCUCAUAUGCGCGUCUUAGAUUCUUAGGACUCCACUGAAUCACAUCUCAUACAGAAGCAAAAUCAACAGGAAAGAAAGUACGAGCUUCUUAUAGGAUACCAUGCUUAGUGCUUUGUUUUGGAAAUAGUCAAUCCGUUUUAAGUGUCGAAGGCUGUAGAUAUUUGUUUGGAGAAAUUGAUUUCCUUCCUUUCUAUUAGAGGGCAUUCUAUUUCAAAAGUGCCAAAACUAUCUGCUUUUUGACUUUUCCUUAAAAAGUGAAAUCUGGGUUACCAAUUCCCCCCCUCACAUCGCUGCUUGCAUUAGUUGUCCUUCAAACUGUUCUUUCUCGAGCAGAAAUAUCGGAUUCGAUCGAACAUUGUGGAUCAUCUGCAUAGAGCAUUUUCGCUAACAAAGGAGGGCGCUUCUCAGAGAUUUGGAAGAUAAUGGAAAGUCCGGGGGAGAAGAUAUUUCCCUUCCAAAUUCCAAUAGUUUUUUAAAACACCGUGUUUUUGGUCUCAAUUUAUAGGCUCCAACUGGCAUUUGAGUUUUUCUUCCCUUGUUUUGAUCCUUUAUUACUUGACACUAGGAGAAUCCAGACAAGUUGCUUGGCCCUAAUGUCGUAGUUGCUUGGUGGCUUCGAACGUCUUUCUCAAGGCUUUACUUCAUUAAGGGGAGUGGAAGAGCAGCUUCAACUUCUUUAUCUAAUUCCCGGCCAGUCCAGAAUUGCCGCAUUAAGAUCGGGCUUGCGAACGAGCAGACUCAUUCAAGGUACUUGCUUCAGUGGGUUACACAUGUCUAUCAAAAUCCCGCCCCUACCUAACCUAAUCUAGAGCAUACAUCUUUCUCCCUACCUAACCUAAUCUAGCAUAUAUUUCAUAGCUGGCUUUCCCUUGACUCUUCACUUUCGAAAGCAAAAGAACAGGACUCACUCAGUUCUUAUCCUGUGUCCUGCCAUUCCGCCAGUAGGAGUUCCGUAGGUCUUCCAUUCCAAGUGAAAAGGAGUCGCAAUCCGGUGAAAAGCCAGUAGCACGCUUGUUAAUACGUAUUGGAUAUUCCCUAGUAGGACGGUAUCAGUCCCGAGAGCAAGUUUCGAGUAUUGAAUCAACUCUUACAGUUAUGGAAUCGUAUGUUAGGGAUGGAAUAACAUAUGAAUGAAAGAGUCUUUGCUAGCCCCCUUGGGAUAGAGCCAGAGGAAGUAUCCUUUGAAUAUGUCACUCCCGGGAGAGAUUCUAUUGCUGCUUAUUCGAAUAUUCCCAAACCGGCCGGAUACAAUGACUCUUGCACCGGGAAUUCAACUAACUGGGGAUUCCAGGGCAGUUCCUAUUCCCUUUUCCUAAACCAAGUUUCAAGCAUUAAAGAUUACCAAACGGCAACAGUCAGAUAGGAAAUUGAUAUUAUAUAACACCAGCAGUACCGGUUACGUGCAGCGGUAAUUCCCCAAAAGCAAGAGCGGAGAUGGCCGUCUGAUUGAACAGCGGAAAGGCAAAGACAAACUCCUAUUCUUAGGUAAGCAUUCCGUUAGCUUGCAACUAUUUGUCCACUAAACCUGACCUGAAACCUGUAAGCCUAAACCUGACUGACUCCUAGUAGCCCACUCACUCACUUUUGGAUUAAAGAAGAGUUCGUCGCUAAAGCAAUUGCAAUAUGACUUCCUUCCAAUCCUUUCCCAGCGUCUCGCGAACUAAAACCUCUUGUCCUCCAAUCCCCUUAACUCCUAUAGUCCCUUCCUUCUAUAAAGUUGAAAGCAUUAAAGAUUACCAGUGGUCUCAGCUAACGAACAACUGUCCUCUGUCCCUUAAUUCUAUGAUGGGCAUGUCCCUUAGACUAGUGCAAUGUUUUUCUUUAUUUGAAAAAACGAACUUCUCAUCACCGCUCCUACCAACGAACAUAGAAGUUUUCCGCCCCGUAAGCAUAUUAGUAUUUGCAUUCGAGGAGAGAUCCCAAUUCCGUGUAUCUGGCCCUGCGCUUCUAUUUGCUGGUAAAUCCAAAGAAAAGAAUAUCGGCACCCACUGAAACUUGCUUAUUGACCCGAAACCUAUACUAACUAAAGUCAGCGGUAUCUCAAUAGACUAGCAGAUUGACCCACAUGAGUAAGCGGCAUCCCAAUAGACUAGCGGAUUUACCCAUAUACUAUACAUAAGCGGAUUUACCCAUAUACUCUAUAUAAAGAAAAAGUUCCGCUCUUCGUUCUUAAUUACCCAUAUACUAAACGGAAAGUCCCGCUCUUUCCACUCGGUAAAGUAUAGACUUAUGUUUUGAGCUUGAAACCCGAACCCGAGUUCCCUUCCUACCGCUCCGUGGGCAAUAGCAAUCGGGACCCUUAUCUACUUAACAGUCAUUCUAUCUUAUUAUCUUAUCUGUCAUUCUACCUUAUCUACUUACUUUUCUUCUACCUUAUCUACUGACUUUUCUUCUAUCUUAUCUACUUAUUGUUCUUCUAUCUUAUCUACUUAUUGUUAUUCUAUCUUAUUAUCUUAUCUGUCAUUCGAUUAUUGACCAGAACCCUGACCCUUGACUUGACCUUUUGAGCUUGAAACCAACCCUUUCCUUUACCUUAAAGCUGUCACUACACUACGAUUACACCUAUGCCUCUGUUCUGUUUGCUCAUAAUAACUAAGAUUGUAGAUAGAAGAAAUGAGCCGUUAUGAUACUAUCUUAUUGACUGACCGCUUCGGAUUGCUAAUUCAAUCAUAAAGUGGAUUAGGGGGACAUAGUUCUGUGAGAGGGUCGAGGUAAUUGAGCUCUACGGAUAGGAACGAGUGUAAUACUAGUAGGCAAACAGUCAAGCAGGCGAGUCCUAACACCUAUGUCAAACUAAUCAAAUCGAAGAACAAGUAAACAAACAACGAAAAAAGGCCUUAUUGCCCUGAACCGAUGAAAAAAGUACUCGCACUAGGCAGCUCCCUAACGGUUAGCUUAGAGUCAAACAGUUGCUUGUUCUGAUGCGCUUAAUUUCAAUUGAUCUUCAGUCAACUAAUAACCUAAUCCAAUCGGAGAUAUAUAAGAUAGGGAAUGAAUGUAGAGAACUAAGCAAAGAUAGGGUUUUCUUUUCAUUAAGCGCAAGAUUAAGCUGCUCCUGUGCCAUGUCUUUUAAAAACACACAUUUUGUCCAGUUCAUCUUGAUUCUAUCUACUUCAUUAUCAAAGAAAGCCUACUUCCAGUAUGACUUAAAAGAAAUCAAUAUAAUACCCACAAAUCUUCUUUAAGAGAUUAACAACACUGCUUACUGCUUGCUCUAUGUUCUUUUUAUUGAUUGAUAUGGGGACCCUCUCACUACUUACUAUACUUAUGACUUCCCGCUCUGUAUGGAUUAUCAAGUUCAUUCUUAAGUAGAUACAGAGUAUAGUAUAUUAUUUAGUCAUGUUAUUCUUACAGAUGUCUCACCCCAAUCAUAUCAUUUUGGACUUUACUUCACACACAGGCCCAACUCUUAGUGGCAAUGGAAUUAUUACUGUUUACUUUCUACGAGUUUAGUGGCAAUGGAAUUAUUACUGUUGACUUUCCUACUGGCCCAGACUUAUUAAUGGUUGCAAGAGAAGUAUAAAGUAUUGUAUUUCAACCUGUUGUUAAUGCAAGGCAAGAGAAGUCUAAAGUAUCUUUGCUUAGAGAAUUGUGUAAGCGGGAAAGAAGGGAGUAAAGCAUCAAUCAACCUGACAGCGCGAUAUGUGAUGUUGUAAUAGCUGUUAGCUUUGAGUUGACUCUUUGACAUUAUAUGGUAUCCUUGUGUAUAUACUCUUUGACAUUAUAUGGUAUCCAUUUUGGAGUUUGCUCUUUUCUAGGGUUGAGGACAAGAGAAGAGUAGGGGCAAUCCAAGCAGAUAGUUUUCAAAAGGAGCAAGGGAGGCUACCGUUAUUAACUAUAAACGAGAGUGGAGUUGGUCUAAUUCUGGUCUGGAGCCGGCCAAGAGGAUCUUCCUUGGAUAAGUCCGAAAUACCUUUCAUUUAUCUUCAAAGAUACUGGAAGAAGCGGAUUUUCCCUCAUGCCACGCACCGGCCCCAUUCACUUGCUCGACUCUUCCAUCAACACGUUUUUAUUUCCCUUGACCCUUGAAACUGUGGGUAUGAGCAAUACGUCCAUCUUGGCACAGGGGAUAUGGGCAACACGUCCAUCUAUCCCGGCACAACAGCGAAAAGUUCCUUAGGGGGCUACAAACUAUGUCUCUUACUUCUAUUGGCAGGUACAACUAUGUCUCUGACUUCUUUUAUUCUCUUUUGUCUCUGACUUUUGAUAUAGAAAACAACUAACUCACUCACUUACUGAGAAGUUCAAACCUGAAACUAUAUCCGUCGGUCGAUUCGUUCAUAAUAAGAUUCUUUCAUUAGGGGAAUAUUUGGCAUUUGCAUUUUAGGGGCAGCUUAGGUUCAGCUCAUCUCUACUAAUUUCUGUAUCUUGAACGGAAGCAUUCGCCUUUGAAGCAAAUCCAAGUGUAAGGGAAAGGAACAAUUGAGCUUCUUACUAUCCCCCUUCCUUCUUAUAGCUUUUAUCGUCCUGCUUUGCUAUACUACCGAUGCGAACAAUCAAUCAGUCGAAGGCUACUAGAUGAUUAUUCUUCGCCCGGGCUUGGGCAAGGCCCCACUGGUCACUCUUUACAUCUUCCCUAUUGCUUUGCUUGAGCGGAAUGACAUCUACCCUCUUCCUUCGCUCGAGUCUCUUCAAAACCACCCUAUCCCUUUUAUGAAUACCUUUAUUACAAAAUAGCUCUUUAUCCAUACGAGUGAGGCGAGCACAGGACUUGCACCCUCCACUCUACUUUCUGACAGGAACAAUCCUUUAUACCCGGGCCCUUAUAUACUAGUUCACAGGAUCAGUAGUGGAUUCCAAUUAAGGAGUUGUUGACGGAAAGGGAGUUUCAAUUCCUCUGAUACUGCCUCUACUGCCUCUCAAUCUUAUCUUAUUAAAGCAUCAGUAGACCCCGCUAAGGCUUCUGGUAGAUCGAAAGCAGCGGGAACUCUAACACAUGGAUACUAUAAAGGAGACUCGAACACUAACUCGGCUAGCAUACCUAGCUCAUGACUCUGGUUCUUACCCUUAUAGUAGGCUAUUUAUUAUCUUAUUAGAUUAUUCGUGCAUACCUAGCUCAUGACUCUGGUUCUUACCCUAGGGAAAGUAUUAUACCUCUGUUGGACCGUAUUCGCUACUAUCCAUAGAAAAAGAUGCCAUGUCCUCUUCUCGAUUUCUCGAUGAAAACGACUUCUUACCUCUUACCUAGAAGAAUAUCGAUUAUCACAGGAUUCCUCUAAAGCAUACUAUAGCAGAAAAAAUAUCCAAUCAAAUCUUACCAGGGAAGGAGCCCUAAAGUCAAGAAAGAAUGAAUGCUGUUGCUUGUUCUCGAAGCUCACUUAUUGAAUCCAUCUCGCAACUUAUAGGGAAUAGUUACUUCACACCAAUUCUUCCUUCUGAAGCGCAGUGUACUUAAGUAGAUAGAAGUUUGAGUGUUGCGGUAAGCAAAGCGGGUAAUCUUCAAUUCCAUGAUUUUCUUAAGGAUUUUCUUUGUCUAAGGCUCCUAACGUGAGCUGUUUGAGUUGUGCUAACGGUAGCUUUAAGAGCGAGUCCAGAUUGAGUUUCUUUUUUCCCUUGACUUUGUAAGGAGUGAGUGAUUCCUCAAGUUCUAGAUUCCAGUCUGGUUCCUGUUCCUGAGACUUUACUUGCGACUGCUCCAGCAUUGGAGUUUGGACGAGUAGGGCGAGUAAUCAAAGAAUCAAAUCUCAAUCACACUCAUUCUAUAACAUAGUAAACUAACGCUCAAUCACACUCAUUCUUGAAAACAUAAGUCAACUAACGAAUCAAAUCUCAAUCACACUUCAUUCUUGAAAACAUAGUAAACUCACAUCUUCUCUCGGGGCUUGCUCUUGCUAAAGGGCUUGUUGAAUGGAGUUAGGAACCCUGCUUCCCUGCUUAUUAAAGGACAGAAGCAUAGGCACUAACAACAAUAACUAAAUAAGAAGCAAGAGAGCUGGUUUGGAAGCUGUACCCGGGCGGAACAGGAAAGAGAGAAAUAAGAGUGGAGUAAGGUCGCUCUUCCUCAUUCCAUUCUUUAGUAUAUGCUUGUUUACUUGGCCGGGAUGAAACUAUGAGUAGCUUGUCGGCUUGUCUGGUCGGUAGUAGUGUAUUGUCUGGCGCGUAACACAAGCACGAGCACCCAUUGAUUGAAACCAUAGUAUAUGGCACAACCCCAACGACUAGUCUACCUUUGCUUGCUUCGAUUCUCACUAUCCUGUUUUUCGUUCCCCAACAACUUUACUUACUUCAAAUCGGAUAUGGCCUGUAUCUAAGACCUAAGCUCGCCAGCUACGCUCUCUCAAACUGAAACUUGGGAUCUCGUACCCAGUCUUCUGCUGCUGUCUUUUAGUAUUAAUUGCCUAACUCAAAAGCGGACUUGAUGGUAAGCUAACCGAGCUAGUGGUUGACUUCAUUAUUACUUAUUCCACGCCCAACCUUGUAUUGAGGCCUUACUUGACUUUAUCUCAGCCUGCCUCCAAGCCUUAAAACACUAAACAACACGCUCAGGCUAUUGCCUAUAAGUCUGCCCGAUCAGAGGCUCGGGUUAGUCCGCUACUCCUAACUCCUCCUACUUCGAUAACUCCUUACUUCCACUCUUGGGCUUGCUCUUUUCAUUCUGAGUUUCUUACUGACUUAGUUUAUUACUUACUUAUUCAUUCCUGGACUCCUGGACUUAAGUAUUACUUGAAAACUGCCCACUCCUUCAUAUCUGUAUGCCUUUACACCUAAAACAAGGGGAUCCAACCCGGAUCGGAGGAAUGAAACAAAGGAGUUAGCCUUAGACUCCUGAACCAAAAUCUGACUUGAAAACAGCCAUUCCUGCAAAAAAGCCUUUCGCUCUGGGGUUAGCUUAAGUCUGUUACUUCGAAUUAAUAACCACUAGUUGGGGGAGUUAGGCAAGAAUGAAGUAGUAACACAUGGAUGAGUUUUUCUUUGGAAUCUCUAGUGGGCUUGCUCCGAAUUGCAUUCUAAAGUCCGAGUAUUAGAGUAGUCAGCAUAAGAACGAAACCCACCCGACUAUAUUGAUGGAACGCUGCUACCCGCUUGUAUCAAUAGAAAUCAAAACCACUAUACUAUUGACAGUGCCGAUUCCAUUCUUAUAAGAUAAUAUAGUUUAUUCAGUGCCAACUCUCUUACUACGCUCUGGAAACAAUUCUGAUAUUCGCCCCCCAAACAUAUUAGAAUGAUUCUAUUACAUGACAAUUCUUCUAUCACUUUGCUUUGGAGUGGAGCCUAUUACCUUUGCUUUGGAGUGGAGCCUAUUACCUAUGAUUCUAUUACUUAGUUGUUUGUCUGCUCACCCCCUGCUGUACUGGCACACAACCCACCCUACUAUGUAUCAAUAGCAUAUUGGGUAUCAAUGGCAUAGGUAGCAAUGAACACCACCACUCACUAUUGCGUGUAUCAAUAGCACAAACGAACGGAACCAUACCUACUUGGCAAGGUACUCAUUAUUCAAGUCAAAAGCACAUAGUCUUAAGGGAGCGCCUAUCAGCCUGCGAGCGACCAUGCAAUGGUGAGCAACAUCACUCUUUCUUUACAUUUCAUGAAACAUAACUCAUUCAUUGAGUGGUCAAUCAACAAUAAAGCAAGGUUAGUUCACUUAGUCCCCAAGUCACAUAGCGCAUUCUUUGAUUAAAGUCAACAUAACUCAUUCUAUGCGCAGACCCCCGGGCACUCCGCCUGUGAGCUACCAUAUUACUCUUGCUUUGAUGCCCCUAGACAGAAGAUUGUUUCCGUAGUGCGGUUCUCUUAUAAGAUAGUUAGUUUCCUCAGCGUAAACCUAGUCUAAGUAUAGGCACCCCCUACUGGCGCACAACAAACCUAUUGAUGGGAUUGAAACCCGCGCCUAGUAUAUGGGACAACAACACCCUAGUAUGGUACAAAACACACCCCUAUUGAUUGAAACCAUAGUAUAUGGCACAACCCCUAGUAUGGUACGUAACCCUACCCCUUAUUGAUUGAUUUCCUCUCCUCGCGAGCCAACACCAGUAUUUCUUUCCUGAAACCAUAGUAUGGCGCAGCACACAGUAAUCACUACGGUCGACAUCCUUACAUGCAGAGAAGGUAGGUCCCGCCCCGGGCAGCGAAUUGCACUCGGGACCGCCAACACGCUGUGGGCGAAGUCUUCGGGCGAUAUCACUAUCAUAGUCAGGUGAUAUCACUAUCAUAAUCAGAGGUAUUACUAGAGAAACAGUAACGAACCGAACAUAGGCCCUUAUCAAUACUGUAAACCAACAACGAACAGGGAAAUCAACUCAGUGAACUCAACUAGGAACUGGGACUCUAGUUACUACUCAAGGAAUUUUGUAAGAAAAUGGGAAUUCCGCUGGUGCGGAAGUCCGCUACUUAUUAAUAAUAAUCAUAGGUGUGUUGGCGAGCGAAGAGGGUCAUAAUCAUGGAUGUGUUGUAGAGCAAGGAAAGGGGGGCCAUACUCUCAAACCCAUUGGAUAAAGGCGUCUAUAGGGCCUAGCCAUUUUCGAGUUGUUCAAUUGAGACCGCUCUACAGGGGCGUCAGAGUCAAUACGAGAAUGGAGCUCUACUGGCGCAACAGGGCUUUAACUAACAACUAGCCUAUUAGCACAAUUUCCAUUCUGAGUUUACUGCUGAAGCCCUUGUAGCCCUGUUGUUUGUCUACAACUUACUAUAAGCCUUGAUUCUCUUAUUCAGGGAACUUCUUCUUUGACUUAUUACUUUGAUUCCCAUGUGAGAGUUUGGGCCUGCCACUACGCUCUCGCACUCUUAAUAACCGGACAGCACAUAGAGAGCAGUGAUUUGUCUCUACAUCUACGCCGCUAAAGCCUUACUAGCAUACCAGCAAACUACCUCCCCUCGCCUUUAGUCUGACUAUCCUUUCUCUCAGUCACCAAGAGUAAGCUACUUGAGAAUAACCCCGGGAAUACAGACUUAUACACUGCCUAGUGAAUUCAUUACUAUCUGAGAAUACUUUCACUGCUACUGGAUAGAACACUGCCUCCCAAGCCUUACCGACCUAUUAAUGAAGAAUACACAUCCACUGACAACAAGGCAAUAGUAGCAUUUCAGAAAUCAAUAAACAAGUAAGAACAGCGUAGAGAGCGAGAUGAAGGAACUAAAGAAAGCAAGUAAGCAGAGGAAGAGUUCAAGGCGGGCUUAGCUUAGAUGCCGGGUAAGACUAUACCGUAAUUGGCUAUUGGAUUCCUUAUUCCUACUUUGAUUCUGAAAACACUAAUAAUAUUCUCUUAUAUAUAAUAAUAGUAAGUGACUUAUCUAUCUAUUGUAUUUGUAUUGGAAUUAUGACUUAAUUGCAUUGAUUUCAGCCUUGUUAUCUAUACCGCUACUAUAUCUUAAUGCACUGGAUCAUCAUACCUAGGAGCGGAAGAAUGAAAAGAAGCAUAGCGAGAAUAAAAGGCGAGAUAGUUAGUGAGAGUUGGAGGGCAGCUUUGGGUUCCGUAGUUUGGAUUCCUUGUUUGGUUUGAUUCUCUAACACUGACGUCGGAUCCUGGCUUUAUUAGUAGGAGGGAGCUACAGGGGUUCAAGUUGGAUUGAUACUAAUAUGGUAAUAGGGAAAGACAGAUUUUACGCCGAAGGAGGGAAGUGGAAAGCAAAGAUAUAGACUGCAGGCAAGCGUAGUCAGAAUCGAGGUGGGUUCGGUUCAAUGAGCGGCCCCAAAAACAGGAAUGCCGAGCAGUAGUGCUAGGUUUAAAGCAAGGGUAGGCAGCUUCAGGUGCAGUAAAGGAAGUCCCUCUCUCUUUGCAGGCUUAGAAGUGUUCGGUAAGGCGGCAGCCUUUUCAGUAGUAUUUAGAGUCUAAUCGUUACUAGUGGAUUUCUUGUCCCACUCUAUCGAUCUUGUCAGUCACAGUUUAUUUCCCAGUUAGUGAAGUCAAUCUGCUUAAGUCGCAGUGUAAGCCCUAGUUUAUGGUUAAAGCCCUGUUGGCGUUAGUAUAAGUUUCGUUUGGGAGUUAGGAGUCAUGGACCUUAUUUGUAUUCGGGUAAUUCAAGAUAGGAAUAGCAGUUUUCUCUUUAGUAGCGGUAGGCUAAAAGCCAGCAACGGUAGACUUUAAUCGAGGAGAUCCGUACAAAGAGUAAUCUACCCGUAAAGCAGGAUCCCGAUCAGUAAGGUAAGUCCUAUUUAUAAGUUCCAGUAUUGUGCAGUAGCGGAGUGCUCCAUUCUUUUAUGCCCGGGUUCGAGUUCCAACCUUAUACUACUAAGCGAAACCCUUUAUUAUAAUGAGUAUUUGUCUAGUAGCCCUGUGUCUCUUACUUCUUAGCGCAAUUCCAAUUAUCCGUUAGUUAAGUCCCAGUUCCGAGCCUUAAGUGAGUCCAGCAGCUCCAAUCUGAUACGUGUAAUCCAUAUUGUUGACUCUUAUAUUGAUUCCUACAAGCACCUGUGCUAUUCUCUCCAGUAGCGAUUUCAGCCCUUUACUUAUUAAUUGGAUUCUUUUGAUACUGAGUUAGGCUCUAUGUGCCAAAGAAAAAACUGUAUCCUGUAUGUCAUAGUUCCAUUCCGAUUAUAAGUUAGUUAAGUCUAUUUCCCAAUGCACCAGGUCGUGUACCUUCGCGGUAUUAGUCUUAUAGUGAAUAGUGGAAUUGACUUGGUUUAAGCUUAAUAGGUCAUUUUCCAUAAUAAGAAGAUAACAUAGGUCUGUAGACGAGUGAAUUCACUCUCCUAAGCUGCUCCAUUAGUGGUUUUGCUUGUUGGGUUUACUGCCCUGCCCGUCUUUCUUGCCUUGCUUUUGAAUUCCUACUUUCUUACUUGAUAGCUGAAUUCUGCUUUUCGAGAUAAGAAGUCAAGGGUGGGCUUUCGAGAUAAUUAAGUACGAGAGUCUCUUUGUUUUUGUGCUUGUCUCUAAGCUCCCUUUAGCUAUUAAUUAGGACUUCCUAAGAAAGGACUUGGCCUGUUGCUUGGCCGGGUUUUACCAUAGGCACUUCUAAUGAGGUUUCGAAGAUGCUUUCUUAUCCUCUGAGUUAUUCCGAAUUUAGGAACUAUUUCUUCUUUCUGGUAGAGUUGGAAAAGGAACGAAUCGAGUGUGAUCCGCAGAGGCAGGCCGCGGCUACCGACAUGAGCCAAAGGCGGCUAAUGCCAAUCGCUUUCACUAGGAAACAAAGCAAGCUGUGGAGAAGCCCUUGAAUGAAGAGGAACUAUCUUUAUGGGAACGGAAGGGCUUUGACUAUCCAUGGGAACGGGCACGGAUGAUUGCCAUUGUCGCACCCUACAUACUCUGUUUCCAAGCCCUAAAUGGAAAGUCAGCAACAAGUGGAAAGGAAAGGAUAAGUCGGAAGUAAGCUGUAAAUGAAGGAGAGGCCCUUAUUGUAAGUUCCCCCCGUAGCGACAUCUUCUAGCUGAUGAUCCUAAUUAUGCCUUUCGCUUCUGCGCAAGAAAGCAGUUACAUCUGUUUCAUUGAACUGACAAGCGCUAAGACCUACCUACACAGCCGGAUUCUCAAGCCUCAGAUCCAUUUGAUUCUUCUGCUAUAUCGUAAUCUUUAGGCUAUCAUUUACAAGAUUCUAGGAUCGGGAGCAGGUUCAUCUGUUGUUUUCCUUAACGGCUUUUUCACUAACUAUCCAUAUGUCUAUGGCAGGCGUUCAAUAGCUAACAAGUUCUAAUGCUAAGCGCUUUUCCAAAGGUUAGAGCGAGUGAUCUGAUCAAGCUUUAGUAUUAGCUUGGGUGGGCUGGGCCUAUGUGGAUCCUUUCUCCGGUUCUUUUCUUUCUCUCUCUCUAUUUGGUUUUUCCAUUCCAUUUUCUUUCUUUUCUCUGCGUAGUCUCAUUCUCACCAGCCUUUGACUUGACUUUUCAUACUCUUUGGCAGUAGCACAUUUUCUUCGACUAUGGGCUAAACCUCUUCUUUUGUUUCAUACUAAGAUUCCGAAGAGAAUUCUCCCCGUAUAAGCCUCAGUUACAAACUUUCAAUAGAAGACAUGUCGGGUUCAAGUCUAUUAACCGAGCGAGCACAAAGCUCAAGGGGAGAGCAAUCAAUACAGUAAAGGCGGGCCUCUCAAAUAGAGAGAAUAAGGAUAAGAGAAUAAUGGAACAGAAAUGAACGACAACAACCUGAACUUUAUGCUCUAACUGCUUCCUUUCGAACUCCUGAUGAUUCUUCUCUUGCUAAAGAAUGGAAUGGAGCUAUUAAAUAUUUAUAGAUUAUAGGAUACAACCACUUUCCACUCACUUAUGGAAUAUAUCUCGCCUUGUCAUCAAAGAAUCUAUCUCGCAUAGUUAACAAAGAAUCUUUAUCGCAUAGUAUAGAAUCCAGUGUAACCAAUAACUACCUCGGGCGCCCUUGCAUUAAGAAAAGGAAAAGCAGAUUGAUAGAGGCAUCCGAACGCUAUACAAUAGUACUCAACUUGAUUAUUGCCGUUGUUUGUUUAAUAUGAGUUGCAUAUGAGAUAUAAGAAGGAUGAAUCUCACUGCUUGUUUGCGCUAACGUAUGAGUCGUUUUCUUUCGUAUUGGCUAACGCGAGGGUUCAAAAACUGUCUAAGGGAAGGAUCUCAAUAGGUCAAUAAAGGGCAUUGAGCUCUAAUAUCAUAAGUAUUAAUUGGGAGAGCGAGAUAGAGACAAAUACCAAAUGGGGGCGGUCAAAAAGCUUUGCUACACUUCUGUCUUGCUGCUCAUUUCGAUUCUCCCGCACACACGCGCUCUUGCAAGGCUAGCCUUAAGUGCUUUUUCGGGCCCACUUCCCUUUGGAUAUUAUGAAAGCCAGUUCCUCGUGAUAGUACAUGUGGGAUUUCUUUGGUUAUCCAGGUACAAUAAAUAUGAUUGUGGGAACGAGUAAAAGGUGAGAUUUGAGUUCCUUGCGAGGAGACUUACAAGAAUUUCUACUAUAGUCUAAUGGGAUUGAUGCUGAGAGUCUAAUGGGAUUGAUGAUGAGCGGGCAAAAGCUCCGGCCGAGGGGUGAGACCCCGCUUUUUUCUUGGCACGAGAUGCCGUUACACCAUACAUGAUAGGUGAAAGACCAAGCCCAAACCUCGAUUACAUGGGAUUUCGAUGAUUCACUGCCGAAAGCUACUUAUUGUACGCUAGCACUUGAAGUAGGUGCGUUUUCGUCGUCUUUGCAGAUAUAAGAUCAAAUCAGAAAUGUCUUUCUCUCUUAUAUGCCAUUGAUGAAUAUGAAUAGCUUGGGAAAAGACCUGAAAUCCUACCUUUCAGCAUUGAAAUAAAGAAAGUGGUGGGCACAAAGAAGAAUUACAGACACCAAAGAGAGGGCAGGGUCGCUUAUGGAGGGCUUACUUAAAGAGGGCGAAGAGGUCGUCCCUCGAAGUAGCUCUAUACUAUUUUAGGACAGAAUACCAUUAUAGUGCAGUAGGUAAAAAGACCUACUAACGAGAAUAAGGAGGGAGUUAAUCGCUUCUGGGUAGCAUCAGUACCGGCAUAACCUUUUGAUUUACAAUAAAGAAAGGACUGGUAUUUCACUAGUUGAUACGAUUGAGUCAAGGACUGGUAUUUCACUAGUCGAUACGGUUUAGUCAGUUGUUGCUUCGGUCGAAGUGGUAGUAGCAUCUCUUCUCUAUAAAGAGACAAGUUUGGGCUUUCCCUGUACAAUAUACCAAGUAGAUCCAGUUUCUUAUGCCCGAGCUCAUGGUAGGGAUUCCGUUUAUGGCAUAAGGUUCAGUUCCUUAUCUAGAAGCAUACCUGGAUAUGUACUCAUCUCCUCGUGGCUUCCAUACCUAUCCAAGUUGGAGUUAACAGCAUAUCAACUCAAACUAGUAGACCCAUAGCGAGACCGAGUUAUCGUAGAGAUUCAUACCUUACAUGUGAUCGAGACCGAGACCCCUCCCGCGAACCGCUUGCUGCUUUCUUUCGAGCAUUAACUGGAGUUUCUAUCAGAAUUCCAUAGAUACCAUUGCCGGUGAUCGCAACUAUGUCCAUUCCGUUCUGGCUAGCGAUGAGGGGAAAACUAGCCCAAUGUAUGGUCCGCGCCACCUACACGACUCACUACAUAGGUAUAGGGAAAGCAGGAGAAUCCGGUUGCUCAUUCCAAAAGCCAGAAUGCGGAGCCUAUAAAGCAAGAUGUUCAUCUCCUGUUGGAUAAGGAGACCUAAAACACCAUUCAAGGUUGUCAGGUCGGUAACAAAGGGCCAUCAUUCUUUUGAAUUGGGGUGCCAUGAAUAAUCCACUUGCCUAGCUGACGUUACCAUCCCAAAAAGAGAUGCCUCGAUCGGUGCGGUAGCCACUAUAGGGAGAAUGUGUUGUGAGACGACCUCCCGCGAUGAGCCUUCUAUUUCCUUGAUGUUACACAGGAUGCGCAACGGAGGGUGGAUAUAGGUUACUUAGAGCAUUACAUUAUAAAGAAAGAUAUAGGUUACUUAGAGCAUUAUAUUAUAAAGAAUCGAAAUGAGAACCAAGGAUUACCUAGGGGCGGCCUUGAACCUGCUUCGCAAAGCUCCCCGCCCAGGUUAAAGCCUUACUUGUUGGCUCCUAGUUAACACACUGCAUUUGACACUCCUUAGGGCGUAAGGGGGAUAGUUCUUCAAUACCAAGGCGCUAACAGCAACAGUUUACGGCUUCUUCGAUUUCAAGACGAAGUCCUUUCUCGUGACAACGACUGACAUCCCCUAACUUUGGCAAGUUAACCAAAAAGUACGCUCUUACCGCAGCUUUGGCAAAGGCUACUCGCUCGUGGUAUACUUUGCUCGCUCUGACGCCUACCUCCUUUACUACAUAAAUCCAACUGCCUGCCAGCCUUGACAGAAGAAGCAGUGCCCUCCUUCAAUGUGUUCAAAUACUUUCCAUUUUGUGUCCUGAGAUGGCACAUCAGUAAUUUAAACACUCUAUGAUAACAUCAAUCUGGCUUGGCCCAUAGAGGCUGUGUGAUUGGGGGAUCGUUAGCGGAGCAAGGUAGCCAGAGCUCAUGGUCCAUCAGAGGCGCUAGUUGCUAGUUCGUUUGACCGAUCGAUUAAGUAUUAGAAUCCAGAAGUGCACAGCACACUCCACGGAAUAAUGAAUAGAAUGAACUAGAUACCAAUAUCCCUGGAACAACUUUCAAAUAAACUCCAUCUUUGUCUACCCGACUUUGACUGGUAAGAGUAGCCGUUCCCUGUGUCUUUGUUUAUAUUGCAAAAGAUCUCAUCUACUCACAUUCUGUUCUGCGAUAUUGGAGAAUCACCGUCAAUACCUCUAAGUAGGUCCGGGAUAAUCCUAAGUAUGGGGGGCAAUUUACAACUAUGCCAAUGAAUCUAGUACUUGCAAGUCAAUCUUUUAUGCAGUCAUCGAUUCUUGCGAGAGGCCACAAUUCCCGCGACGAGGAACGAUUUGAUGCAGAGGAGUUAGUUUCGAAAGUAAAGUUGUCUCGAAUUAGCAAACUGUGUAGAAACAUACUGGUAUAUUCCUGUUUGUAUAUGAAAGUGAGCUAGGCCCCGGGUAAAGCUACUUGGAAUUACUACGGAACCGCUUAUCAUUGAAUGUAUUGAACGAUGAAAUGUAUCCCCGUUCGCAUAGUUUCUAUGACUACCUAAGAUUUCGUUCAGUCUAAUAGAAGUUGACACCUAUUACAGCUCGUACAACCUUGAGUAAGAAGUGAAUUGAGACUAUUUAAGUUACAACUCCCGUCCUCCACAUUCUUGAAGUUACAACUCCCUUCCUCCACGGAACGAAAAGUGUUACUUCCUUACAUGGACACACCUCUUAUCUUUCCUUAGCUUCGGGUAAACUCACUUUCUUUUACUUGAGCCUAAACUUGACCUUUGACCUUGCUCUGGAAC
This 65263-nucleotide long non-coding RNA is filed under the name Musa acuminata (dwarf banana). RNAcentral's name for it is "long non-coding RNA (MACU_LNC008126)". The record is from RNAcentral. Lineage: Eukaryota; Viridiplantae; Streptophyta; Magnoliopsida; Zingiberales; Musaceae.